UGGGUGGCUUCACUGGUGGUGGAUAAGUGGUGGGUGGCUUGAGUGGUGGUGCCGGCGUAACUGUUGGUGGCUUCACUGGUGGGGACUUCACUGGUGGUGCUGGUGGGGGAGUGGUUGUGGGUGGCUUCACUGGUGGUGGAUAAGUGGUGGGUGGCUUCACUACUGGUGGUGGAGUGAAUGGCUUAACUGGAGCCUUAGAAGGAGCUGGUGCAGGUACUGGGGUUUUGGGGUAAGUAGUAUCCUGUACCAAAUUGCAAAGAACCAAAUGUUUACCAUCUUUGUAUACAAUAAUAAAACCCAACUAUCGCAAGUAAAACCUUAAUGCCGGGAAAACACGUUAGCUACGAGUAAAAAUGCAAGCAAUCUCAAACAUAGCUGAUAUCAAAGAUCAUAUUUACUGCUAAAGAUCAAGCAUAAAAUAAACUGAAAUUUCAAAAAAUAGUGUCUAGGAGUUUUGCCUGAAUCUAAAUAUAAACAAAAAAUAUUUUAAAGAAACCAUUUUGUACUACAAAGCAUGUUGUGCCAGAGAUUCAAUUUUUGUGUACAAAAACUGAACAGUCUAAACUAUUUUCAUUUUGUUUGUCCCACAAUAAUAAAAUACCUUUUCUAGCAGAUAUUCCUCCUCAUUGUUGGAUAAAACCUACAAAAAGAAAAUAUUAAAACAUAAACCCAGAGAGAAGUUUGAGUACUUAACUGUAUGUACAAAUGUUAAGAGAAGGGACAGGGAGCCUUACACUUGUAGAGACUAAAAGCAAAGUGGCCAACAGAAGCAGAGCAGCUCUGAAAGCCAUUGGAAGACAGAACCCAGCCUAAAGGAACCAAGAAGAAAGUUUGAGAAGCUAGCUAGUCCCUGGUUGGUGCCCAAGUAUUCCAAGCAGGCGCAGCUUGUCCUUAUAUACAGAGGUGAGGAGGUGAAAAUGUGAUUUUUUUAAUUUCCCAGUUGGUAGUAUUGGUUCAAUAAAUGUACAAUGCCAGCUUCCACCAGAUCACUGAGACCAUCACUUAUGGCUAGCAGGUCGAGGCCUGAGACUUUUGUCUGCUAAAUUAGUAAUAUCUAUUAUUCUAUUACUAGUACUCGUAACAUGAUAUUAAUAUUUUUAUUAACGGGCACCCUAGGCCUGUGUCUUUCAAUACUUGGACAGGCUAUAUCCUUUUUCUUUUUCUUUUUUCCGUGAGCAAUAGUCUCGUGGUAUUUACAUUCUCAUAAUUAUUAAGAGUAGUUUAUAUCAAAUUUUAUAUAAUAUUAUAAAUUUUAAUUUUUUUUAAUAUUCAAAAGAUGGUACUGUUUAAAUUUUAAUUUUUUUUAAUAUUCAAGAGACGUCACUGAUUGAUUUCACUCGAAUUUUAAAAAAUAAGAUUUAAAUUAAGGAUUCCUCUAAGUUACAUGCAUAUACUUUAUAAUCAUCUCAUAUGAAUAAUAAAUAAAUAUUAUUUAUGUGAGAGAGUUGUAAGAUACAUUCAUGUAACUUAGCAUUAAUCUUAAAUUAAACAUCCACAAUAUAUUUGUGGAGAUUAAGAAAAAAUGACCCUAAUCAUUGGAAAAAACUCUAAUGAUUAGACAGACUGUAUCUUUGUUCCAUAAAUUUAUUGUGUUAUAGAUGAUAUUGGCUAGGCCAGUCAAAAAAGUCAUGGUAGGGUAUUUUAAAAAAGGAUCUCCCCAAGUUUGGAUUUGCUUUUAACUAAUUCAGAUGGUUAUUAUUCUUUCAUAAAUUUAACUUCAUCAGUUAAUUGUGCAGCUAUAAAACGUAACUUAGCACUUACCCUUUUUAAAAAAUACGUUCAAUUGGGUUAGUGCAAAGACUAGACUUAUGCUGAAAGAAAUUUCUUAAAUAAAAAUAGAUUUCUAUUAAAUUUGAACAUAAAAAUAGUCUAGAAUGAACUGAGACAUCUUAAAUAUGACUUAAAAUGAGUCCAAAAAGUGAUGUAUUUUCACCACCUUUUUUUUUUAUCACCAUUGUGUUUCACAUCAAUUUUCAACCAAAAAAAAAUUAAAAAAAUUGGAACGAUAAUUUGAAAAAUAUAACAAAAAGUUUUGGUUUAAUAUCAUAUCCUUAACAUUUGUAAUACACAUGGGUCUCACUCAGUUUGUAUCAUUUGCAUUGACCAGCAAGAGAACUCAAAAUGAAUCAAAGACCGAGGGCAUGUGGCUUGUAUCCCCAUUAUUGAUAAAACCAAAACAUCAUGAUUUGUGAGGUAAUUUUGUGUCACUCUGUUACAAUAGAAGUAAAAUUCCCUUGAAUAGUUUCAUAGGGGAUACCUGAUCUUAUGUACAAUCAUACGAUUUAUUUAGAUGUAGCUUGAACCUGACCAAUGCCAACUGUCUGGGAAGCUUACCUGCUAUGUUAAUUACAAAUAAAGAGUACAGUAUUUGGGUUCCUUUGACAACACAUUUUGAUUCAGCUUAAUCAGAAGCGUUUUAAAAUGAUACAAGCCUGCAGAAGCCAGAAAGACUAGCAUUGCUACAACUGGCUUUGAGUGCUCAGUCGUCAAUAGUCAGUACCCGCCCGGCAUCUUUAAAUAUUCAGCGGUGGCAGUGGGAUAUCUGCCUGUUAUAUACAUGUGAUGUCACAUGCUACUAACACUAGUCAAAAUCAUUAGAGAGUAAGUUCAUUUAAAUAAUUUUUAAGUUAAAGAUGACCUCGUGUACUAGAUGCUGCAAUAGAUACACAUGAACUGCUGCAUUUCAAUAACAUCAGUUGAAGAUCCCAAUAACAUUACCCCCAGGCCCAGGCCCCAGCUCCAAACCCAAAGAGAUAGAUCAUCCAAAUGGUUGAAGUUUUACCCCAUAUUCAAACUUCAGAUAAAAGACAAGCUGCACAUCUUACAAAUUACACCAAGGGUUCUCGAAAACUAUCCAGAUUUAUCUGAUUUUUCUUUUUCAGGACAGCUGAGAGAUAUUGAUUCUUUUUCUUCAAUGCUGGGAAACAGACAAUUGCAUUGCAACAAGGAAUUGUACUGUGCCCUGCCCCUUCGGUUGGAUGUAAAAGGAAUCCUAUUGCUCUCUUUAGACAAAAGUGUCUGUCAUCUCAAUCUUUCUCUCGAGAUUUGAGUCUUUUUAAACAUCAGCAGUUUGCAACCCCAAAUGUGUAAAUUUGAAACAAAAAAAUCUAUGAAAUCUCAGUUGGCCGUGGGCCCUCAGCCUGAUGCUUUGCAUGUGAAUGCAUAUUUGGUGACAGGUCAAGAAAAGUAUCACCAACUUUGAAUGUUUGGAUGCAUGUUUUGGUUUAUAAUAUCAAUUUCAUGCCGGUGUAUUCUCUUAUACAGAACAUACGUACAAGAGUUAGAUCCAAAUUCUUUACUGACCAGAAACAAAGCUACAAGAGAAACCAAAAUUCAACUUUUUAAGAUAAUCUUUGAAGAUAAACCAAAUUAGGGUUAUUUCCACUUAACCCCCAAAUCUUUCAACAUUUUCCACUUCGCACCCAAAUUUUUCGACAUUUUCCACCGCACAUCCAAUUCCGUUAAUUUGACCGUUAUUUUUAACGGAGCUAUUUGAAAGUUAAUGAAAUGUAUGAAAUACCCCUUAUCUUAAAUUAGAAAAGAAUUAAAUGAGAUAAAAUGUUAAUCCAAUAAUUAAUAUUUACAUUAAAAAUUCUUAAUUAAAAGUAAUUAAUAAAUAACUCCAUCAAUUAAUUUAUCAAAUAAAUUUAAUUUAUCAUUAUUAAAUAAUAUUUAGGGCAUGAACUUCUAAAUUUGCCCUUUGACCGUUAGAAUUAAUGGUCAAAUUAACGGAUUUGGGUGUGGAUUGAGCAUUAUUGAAACAUUUAGGUGCACGGUGGAAUAUGUUAAAACAUUUGGGGGCAGGACGGAAUUAACCCCAAAUUAAAAUACUUUUGAACAAAAAAAAAAAUCACUUUGGAGCUUUCCUAGUACGGGAAAUGAAACCUUAUUUUGAAGCACAACAAAAAAUUUGGAAAUAUAAAACAUAAACAUGCUUUUCAUCUCCAUCUUAACAGCGUUACUGAGUGUAUUGUAAAUUCUAGAGACUGUCUGCAAUAAGAAAUAAAUCAAUAAUAUGUCAACACCUGAGUAUGCGACCAGCUUAGGCCCACUCAUUUAAUUGAUAAUGAGACCACCGAGUACUACAAAUUUAAGAGUGGAAUUAUUGGCACUCCUCAAAAUACCUCUUAAAACUUCUCUAGUUAUUUUAUAAUUUUAACCUUUAUUAAAAUUACAUAAUAAGACAAUCAUGAAUUUUACAAUUUUAAAUAACUCUUAACACCCUUUUUUUGUUUUUAUUUUAUUUUUUUAACAUUUUCGAGUUUACUCCAACUGCAAACUAAUUUAUGAAUUAUGAUAUACAUAUUAUAAAUUUAAGUAAUGCUACAAGUGACUGUAAAUAUUAAAAUAUCAGCAAAAAAAUAAAAAAUAACUUGAUUAAGAGAUAAAAUGAAUAGUAUCUGAAAUUGAAAUUCAGCAUUUUAAAAAUUAAGAAAGUUACUUUUUUAUCUUAUUUUCUGGUGAGGAAUUAUCGGCAUCAGCAACGCAUUAUCAAUAAGCUUCAAAGAAGAAACCAAGAUCCACGAGGGAAAUUAAGAAAGAAGACGGUAAUUAUGAAGCAAAGGACGAGCUGAACGAUCAUCAGAAUUAUUUUUCCACCGACAUAUUUUCCAGUGCCUCAAUUGUCUUUCUCCACAAAGGCACACAGUCUUUCGAAGAAUCUGUAAUUCUGCAUUUUCAGAAGCUUGUGCUCAACAUUUUUAUCAGUAAACCAAAUUAGCACUUGGCCUUAGAAUUACAAGCAUGGUAGCCAAGUGUUUGCGAGGUGUCAUUAUCAAUUACAAUGAGUUGUCAUGCAUUAAAGUGCUGACCAUGUGGUGUUUCAAUGAUUUGCCACAAUAAGGUAGAAGUUUCGUGGAGUAAGUUCCCUUUUUCCUUUUUUUUCUUUUUUUCCUUCUCUAUCUUUCUUUUUCAAUAGAUGAUUAAUUGUCUCAAAAUCCACAAUUAAGGCCUUUGAUUACGGUUUCGUUUUGUCCGACGGGACCAGCCGGGCGGGGGCAUCGGGAUGGGGGGUAGCCGCCCGGCGGUUUGAACGCCGAAAAUUGGGUAAGAUCGGGGCCGUUUUUGCCGGUUUUGCGGUUUGGGCCCUCCGGGAGGGACCGUGGGGCGGGAUCGGCACACGGGGGACGAUUUCGGACGGGUUCAGGCGGGUGUGGUCCGGGGCGGGGUGGGGCGGGGGCUAUAGCACACGGCCUCGGGGGCCGCAAAGUAAAAUGGACCGUUUUUGCAGGUUUUGCCGGUUUUGGCCGUAACUCAUGAUAGGGCCUCCGAUUGCGGUUCCGUUUCGUCCGACGGGACCAGCCGGGGGGGCAGCGGGAUGGGGGGUAGCCGCCCGGCUGUUUGAAAGCCGAAAAAUGGGUAAGAUCGGGGCCGUUUUUGCCGGUUUUGCGGUUUGGGCCCCCCGGGGGGCGGUUCAUGCUCCAGGGGGGACCACGUGGCGGGAUCAGCACACGGGGGACGAUUUCAGUCGGGUUCGGGCGGGUGCGGCCCGGGGCGGGGCGGGGGCUAUAGCACACGGCCUCGGGGGCCGAAAAAUAAAAUGGGCCGUUUUUGCAGGUUUUGACGGUUUCGGCUGUAACUCAUGAUCGGGGCCUCCAAUCGCAGUUCCGUUUCGUCUGAUGGGACCAGCCGGGCGGGGGCAUCGGGAUGGGUGGGUAGCCGCCCGGCGGUUUGAACGCCGAAAAAUGGGUAAGAUCGGGGCCGUUUUUAUCGAUUUUGCGGUUUGGGCCCCCCAGGGGGCGGUUCAUUCCCCGGGGGGGACCGCGGGGCAGGAUCGGCACACGGGGGACGAUUUCAAUCGGGUUCGGGCGGGUGCGAUCCGGGGCGGGGUGGGGGCUAUUAUAGCACACGGCUUCGGGGCCGCAAAGUAAAAUGGUCCGUUUUUGUCAGUUUCGGCCGUAACUCAUGAUCGGGGCCUCCGAUUGCGGUUCCGUUUCGUCCGACGGGACCACCCGGCCGGGGGCAUCGGGAUGGGGGGGUAGCCACCCUGCCAUUUGAACGCCGAAAAAUGGGUAAGAUCGGGGCCGUUUUUGCCGGUUUUAAGGUUUGGGCCCCCGGGGGGGACCGCGGGGCGGGAUCGGUACACGGGGGACGAUUUCGGUCGGGUUCGGGCAGGUGCGGGCCGGAGCGAGGCGGGGUGGGGGCUAUAGCACACGGCCUCGGGGGCCGCAAAGUAAAAUGGGCCGUUUUUGCCUGUUUCUGCCGUAACUCACGAUCGGGGCCUCCGAUUGCGGUUUCGUUUCGUCCCACAGGACCAGCCGAACGGGAGCAUCGGGAUGGGUGGGUAGUUGCCUGGUGGUUUGAACGCCGAAAAAUGGGUAAGAUCGGGGCCGUUUUUGCCGGUUUUGCGGUUUGGGCCCCCCGGGGGGGACCGCGGGACUGGAUCGGCACACGGGGGACGAUUUCGGUCGGGUUCGGUAGGGUGCGGUCCGGGGUGGGCCGGAGGCUAUAGCACACGGCCUUGGGGGCCGCAAAGUAAAAUGGGUCGUUUUUGCUGGUUUUGCCUUUUUCGGCCGCAACUCACGAUCGGGACCUCCAAUUACGGUUCCGUGUAGUCCGACGGGACCAGUCGGGCGGGGCCAUCGGGAUGGGGGGGUAGCCGACCGACGGUUUGAACGCCGAAAAAUGGGUAAGAUCGGGGCCGUUUUUGCAAGAUUUGCGGUUUGGGCCCCCGGGGGGCGAUUCAUGCCCCGAGGGGGACCGCGGGGCGGGAUUGGCACACGGGAGACGAUUUCGGUCGGGUUCGGGCGGGUGCGGUCUGGGGCGGGGCGGGGGCUAUAGCACACGGCCUCGGGGGCCGCAAAGUAAAAUGGCCCAUUUUUGCCGGUUCGGCCGUAACUCAUGAUCGGGGCCUCCGAUGGCGGUUCCGUUUCAUCCGACGGGACCAUCCGGCCGGGGUCAUCGGGAUGGGGGGUAGCCGCUCGGCGGUUUGAACGCCGAAAAAUGGGUAAGAUCGGGGCUGUUUUUGCCGGUUUUGCGGUUUGGGCCCCCCGGGGGGGACAGCGGGGCGGGAUCGGCACACGGGGGACGAUUUCGGUCGGGUUCGGGCGGGUGCGGUCCGGGUCGGGGCGGGGGCUAUAGCACACGGCCUCGGGGGCCGCAAAGUAAAAUGGGACGUUUUUGCCAGUUUUGCUUGUUCAUGAUCGGGGCCUCCGAUUGCGGUUCCGUUUCGUCCGACGGGACCAGCCGGGCGGGGCUAUCGGUAUGGGGGGGUUGUCGCCCGGCGGUACUAACGCCGAAAAAUGGGUAUGAUCGAGGCCGUUUUUGCCGGUUUUAUGGUUUGGGCCCCCCGGUGGGCGGUUCAUGCCCCGGGGAGGACCGCGGGGCGGGAUCGGCACACGGGGGACGAUUUCGGUCGGGUUCGGGCGGGUGCGGUCUGGGCGGGGCGGGGGCUAUAGCACACGGCCUCGGGGGCCGCAAAGUAAAAUGGGUUGUUUUUGCCGGUUUUGCCGGUUUCGACCGUAAGUCAUGAUCGAGGCCUUCGAUUGCAGUUCCGUUUCCUCCGAUGAGACAAGCCGGGCGGGGACAUCGGGAUGGGGGGGUAGCCGCCUGGCGGUACUAACGCCGAAAAAUGGGUAAGAUCGGGGCCGUUUUUGCUGGUUUUGCAGUUUGGGCCCCACGGUGGGCGGUUCAUGCCCCGGGGGGGACCGCGGGGCGGGAUCGGCCCACGGGGGAUGAUUUCGGUCGGGUUCAGGCGAGUGCGGUCCGGGGCGGGGCGGGGGCUAUUAUUGCACACGGCCUCGGGGGACGCAAAGUUAAAUGGGCCGUUUUUGCCGGUUUUGCCGGUUUCGGCCGUAACUCAUGAUUGGGGCCUCCGAUUGCGGUUCCGUUUCAUCCAACGGGACCAGUCAGGCGGGGGCAUCGGGAAGGAGGGGUAGCCGCCCGGCGGUUUGAACACCGAAAAAUGGGUAAGAUCGUGGUUGUUUUUGCCGAUUUUGCGGUUUGGGCCCCCCGGGGGGCGGUUCAUGCCCUGGGGGGGGACUGCGGGGUGGGAUCGGCGCACGGGGUACGAUUUCGGUCGAGUUCGGGCGGGUGCGGUUCGGGGCGGGGCCGGGGCUAUAGCACACAGCCUCGGGUGCCGCAAAGUAAAAUGGACUGUUUUUGCCGAUUUUGCCGGUUUCGGCCGUAACUCAUGAUCGGGGCCUCCGAUUGCGGUUCCGUUUCGUCUGACAGUACCAGCCGGGCGGGUCAAAAAUUAAAUAGGGGGUUUAUAUUAAUAAAUUUAAAUUAAGGAUAUUUUUGUCAUCAAAAAGGUGUUAAAAUUUUUUUAUAAUAUUUCUAAAUAUUUUAAUGGGGUUAAUAAAGAAAAAAUGUGUUGAAAGAUAUUUAUAGGGGUGCCAAUAGUCUCACUCCAAAUUUAAUGGUCUGGUACAAGCCCAUGAACCAGAAUUAAUGAAAAACAAAUUUUAAUGGCCAAAUUUAGUGGAACCUUCGAGUUUCAGGGUUUCAUGGCCAUGGUUGGUGGCUCACCCCUCUACUUUGGUAAUGAGAGAUUGAGAGCAGACAUUGCCCAUUCUGGAUUAGCUUACUAAGUAUGGGCGGAGACCAAGCCAAUACUAAGUGAAAUCUGCAAAGCAACUCAAAACAAUGUAAAUAUCAACAGAUGAAAGAAUGGACGUGGCGGUGGAAUGUCAAGAACAAAGGCCUAGACGUCAUCAUAAUGUCAAUGAUGAGGGACUUCUAAUGAAAUACUACAAUUUCAUUGAUGCAACCAUCCACCAAAAAAAUUACAGCAAGUGAAAUUCAGUUUCCCUCAAGCAGAUGCCCAACUAAAACGGGGAUUCCGAGGAAAACGAAUGUAAAAGAUACUCAUUUCAACUUUUUCCCCCCUUUCUCCUCCUUGAACAUCAAAACUAAAUAAACAUACAAUAUCUAAACAAGAACUUCCUCUUCAUCAUCAAAACUCAAGUUCAACGUUUGUAACUUGAAGCCUGAACCCUGUAUGAUCUCAACCAGAUUCGCUGCCACUCCUGUAGCUUGCACUGUUGUCUGUUUCUUUAGCUGAACCAAGAGAACAGAACGGUCAGUAUGCACAUUGUAGGCAGAUCACCAUGGUCACGGAAGGUGAACUGCAGUAUCACAAAUAUGUCAUAUCCUGUUAUGAACUACAAAAAAACUCAAACGCACCUCAACAGUGGCAAUACCCUCAAUUACUUGAACCUUUAGAUCAGAGAUUCCUUCAGUUCCCUGCAAAACAACACAACUAAGCAACCUCCAAGUCCACAAAAUAAAAUAUGAGUCUAUGUGAGACAAUACUGAGCUUUAACCAUAACAAUUUUCUCACAAAAGUGAAGGUGCUAACAAGAAUAUCCUAGCAAGAUAUAGUAAUUCUAGAACAUACAAGCUGACCAGAUAACAUAGAUUCCCUCCACUUAUUCAUUAGAGUAGGAAUUUAGAUUUAGUGAAAAUAUGGGACAAAUAUCUUUCACUUGUUAAAAAUAUUCAAAAUUCAUAGAUAAUCUCUACUAUAGUUCCUUACAAAGGAUUUUGGUUGACCCCAAUGUUUCAUCCUUUAAACAUUUGGCACCAGCACAUUUCUAAUUUUUUUUUUAAAGCUUUAACUGAAUUACACUGUCAGGUAUUUGGAUCAAACUCUAACAGUUAUCUGCUCUCAAAAGAAGAAGAAAAGAAUGAAGAACUUCUACCAAUGAUCCACAUUCAACCAUUUCAUACUAACUGAAAACCAAAUACUAGACAGGAAUUUCAGUUUAGUCUGACAGCAAGAUGGGUUACUUGUUAGUCUCAGUUAUGCAUUAGAUUAUUGCUUUACAAUUUGUUCAAUUAAUAAAACUUAAGUUAGCCCGAAGUUCUUUAUUACAUCUCUCUGCAUAAAAGCUCAUUCAGCAGUAUCAAAAUAGACUUCAAAAAGUUAAUAAGAACAGCGCAGUUGCUACAAGAUAAUAGAUUCAUCUUACAUCCUAAAGUAACGUUGAUCUACCUGUAAGGCCUGAGUGACAGCAGGAAUAGCUGUCUCAUUCAUUGCUCCAUCAGCCUUCAUACAAAAAACAACCAAGCAUAAGAAAUCUAUUAAACAAAAGAUAAACACAAACCAAAAGGAAAACAAGCCGACAUAACAAUAUCAGGGCACCUUCAAAACCACAUUUGUCAACAAGAAAAUUCAAACAUGUAAGAAAAGUUCAGGCAUAUCAAUCAAUAAACUUUAACUUACACAAUUAUUAAGUUUGGGCCGCAGGGCAAAGAAAAACCUCAAUAAGCAUGACAAUUAUUUAGUCAAAAGCAUCAAUAACCUUACGAUAUUGCAACAUUACAGCGAAUAUAAGUUUAAAGAUUUUCAUUUUGUUAUAGCAGGGGAAAUACUUCACUUUAAAAUGGAUUAAAACGAAAAAAAAAAUUGGAAUAAUUUCAGUAUUAGUAAUCAAACUCCCAUAACAAGAAGAUAAGAUGUUAUUAACAAAAAUUUCGGGCACAUAAUUAUAAUCAUAAUUUGCAAGAAAACAAAAAACAAAAACACCCAACAUAAGUACCUGGAAGUACAUAGUGAGCUUGUCUGAAGGAGAGACAGGAACUGCAACAGGCUGCUGCUCAUCAGCUGCCACUGUUUCUUCUACUGCUUCCGGUUCUUGUUCUGUUAUCAAAGUUUCCUCUUCACUUGACCUCAAUACUCUCAUUCCAUUAAAACCCCACUUCUGCUUCUUGUUUUUCAAUGCCAGUUUGAUCUGAAAAUUGAACGUUCUAAUGGGAAUAGUUAAAGAACAAGAGGGCAUUACUUUGCUAGUGUGAAGCUUUGUUCUGUAAGUUGAAUAAAGUGUUGAAGAUAGUGAAACUGUAGCCAUUUUGUGGCAGUGUUUUCUUUGGGGCCUCUUUUGUUGUGAGUUUUGAGGGUUGAGAGUUGAGACUCUCCCUUUUAACUUAUCAACUGAACAGAAGGCGCUUUGAUGAUAUACUUCUAUUCUAUCCGAUAUCGGCGGCAGAGAGAGAGAGAGAGAGAUUGUUUAGUGUGUGGUUAUUCAUACAUCUCUUAAGUUUUGAUACAGUUGAGAGCCCUCGAUUUCUGCUGCUUUUCUUCUUGUGGACCAUUUUUGUGCAGGUCAACAUAGUCAACGUCUCACAUUGUUUUGAUGAAAAUCAUAGGGAAAUUUAUUUUUCUAAGAGCAAAAAUGUUUUUUUUCAUCCUUUUUUAAUAGGGAAAUUUCAAUUUUAUGUACCAUUCAUUUUUUUUUCCCUUUUUUGGGUAGUCCAGUACCAUAUAUAAAAUACGAAACAUAUUUACUAGUUCGUAAGGGAUAGGAUAAUCAACUUCAAAGUAAAUAAAAGUUGUUCAAAAGCGCUACAAGUCAUUGGAGCUAAUGGCUAAGAUGCACAACAGACUAAACAUCUUGAGGCCAAUGGGUCCAUUUGGAGAUCAUCGCUUACACAUAAAAGACCAGAGCAACAAAAUAGUUAGAAAAUUACAAGCCCAGACAGAAGUUUGCUCCCAAAAUUGCUUUAUAUAAAUCCUGCCAUUUCAUUCAACUGCUGAAUUUGAAGAGGGGCUGCCGGUAAUCAAUCAUCAAUAGAGAAGCAACUCCAAUGCCUUCGAUAUUUAACAUGCUUAUGUACUUCGUUUACUUCACCUGCUUAGGAACAAAAACAAUGGUGUCAGUUAUGGAAAGUGCAACUAGCCUAGCAAUAAUAUUUUUGUCAAAGAAAAUAAAAUAUUACCCUGCCUUUUAGCAUUUUGAGGCUAUUUUGUAAAACUAGAACACUCUGCUUCGACUUGCCCAUCUGCACAGGCAUUCGGCAAAUCCAAUAAGCUUUGGCAAAGAUGAGAAAUAUAUAGCAAACCUCGAGUUGCCAUGAAAAUUGAUAAACUUUAAUAGAGCUAGAAAGCUCUCACCCUUAAGAUAAAUACCCAUGUUGGCUUGAGCAUCAGCUUCAGAGUUCAAAUUCUUCAAAGUGAGCAAAAAGAAAUCAGUCAUUUGCAAACAGGAAAACAGCACGGUUAACCAAUAAGAGUAAUCACAAAUAGAGAAGAGUGCUUUAAAGCAUAAGAGUUAAUUAUCAGCGUACCCUCAAAAUAUGAUUGAUCUGGAAUGAUUGAAACUUCUCUUUGAGCUCCUUUGCUUCUUUGCACAAGCCAGCCAAAUUCUGGUUAUUUAUCUUCCAUAAUCCUUGAAUCUGUUUCAUGGGGAAUUCCCAUGGUAAAUUAACAUCUAAUUACCAAUUUACCCCCCCCAAAAAAAAGGCUUUGAUGAACACUUGAUACCUUGUAUUUAACUACUAGGAGAUAUCUCAAGCAAACGUUCUUCCAUGUUGCACUUAUGAAGACAGAUUUAAAGAUGGAAUAGAAAAUGCAAAACAAACCUGCAUACAGACAAGCUUAGAGUCUCCUUGGACACGAAUAUGUUUAUAUCCUUUCUGAAGAGCAUACUUCAAUCCUAAAAUUAAAGCUCGAUAUUCGGCAACAUUAUUCGUUGCAAUGCCCACUCCUUCCCGAAGUCGGUAGACCUGAAAACUCAGGACCAAAAAGAUCUACUUUAGUAGAGGAUGUAGCAAACUAGAAGCCUAACAUAUAACCAUAGCAACAAUAUACCACAUUGCCGUCUUCAGCACGCAAAACUGCUCCUGCACCAGCUUGUCCAGGAUUUCCUUUUGAGGCACCGUCAAACUCAAGAGUACAUGAGUACUGGGCAUAGACAUUGAAUAGCAUUAAGGUACAAAAUAAAAAUGACACCAUAAUUUUAGUUUGAACAAUCAGACAUCAACACAGAAUUAACAAGGCAAUUUUAUCUAAAUUAGUUUUUCCAAGGUGUUGUCAACUCCUAUAGAAAGAAGAUUCUAAAUCUAAUCCCUACGAGCCAAAUAUAAUAACUGUAGAUGUAGAUAUAGAAUCAUCAUCAUGCACCAUAUAGAUACUCACACAAUUAUAAGGAACUGAUUGGGUGUUCAAACAGCUAUCUGCAUUUAAGUGACUUCUUUGAGUAUUAAUGGAGAAUGAAGUUGAUCCAGCUGCUGCCACCUGCAGUUAAAAAAAAAAAGAGAGAGAGAGACUUUUAAGUAAUGAUUCUUGGCACAGCAAAAUCAAGUCCAAAAAUUAGAUGUUCAGAUCCAAGUAUCUAACAAAUUUAUUGAUAAAUACCUAUUAUAUUGCCAACUCCUAUUAAAAAAAAAAAUUGAAAUCUAAUUAAAAGACCCUUGACCAGCCAAAAUAUAAUAAAUAUAGAUGUAGAUACAGAAUUAUCAUCACACAACACAUAGAUAAUGAUAUAGAAUCAGAGCAGUAACUCACAUAAUUCUCAGGAACUGAUUGAGUGUUCCAACAGUUAUCUUCAUUAAAGUGCCUUUUUUGAGUGUUAAUGGAGAUUGAAGUUGAUCCAGCUGCUGCCACCUGCAGGGAAAAAAGACAUGUUAAGUUAUGAUUCUUCCCACAGCAAAAUCAAGUCCAAAAAUAGAUGUUCAGAUCCAAGUGUCUUAACAAAUUUAUUGAUAAGUACUUAUUAUACAUCAUCAUCUAUGACUCUAUGUUUAAAAAUAAAAGAACACACAAUAGGGAGUACCUCAUGCAACAUCUUUGGAAGAGAGACCUCGUCAGAUACUUUUUCUCCAGAGGAAGCAGGUUCCUGAGAAAAGGAAAAUCACCAAAAUAUGUCAAUUAUUGAAAAUAAAAACACACGUGCAUAAGUCAUAGUAAAUGUUUACACAUAAGACACAAAAUGUGCUUCAGUUCAAUAUCUGGCAGGAAAAAAAGUAAGAAGAUGAUAAACACUUUUAAAAUGUCAGACGGUACGCAAAAGUUCAAGCCAAGAAAAUGGAUCAUCAAGCAUAGAACAAUUUACCUGAAGCGGGCAAGGAACAAUUUUCCCGAAAAGGCCACUCUUAACAUCACUUGCAGAAACAGAAUAGCUAGAACUCUUCAGCCCAUGUGAGGCCAGGUACUCCUCGGCCUCCUUAGAUAAACCAUAACCCUUAUACACAGUUAAGGAAGGGUCACGAACCUACGAAUAAAUGAAACCUCAUUAAUUCCAUGAGUAAAUGAUGAAGGCAUGACAUAUUCUUAGCUAAAUUCACACAACAAAAAAGAAUCUACAGAUACUUUUGCAACAAGAAGGUACUAUAGCGCUUUGUUAGAAUUGAAAGAAACAGAGAAUGACCAAAAUGAUCCACAUUUCCUAGGGCUUAACAAGGUUUGAACUUAAAUGAGAGUCUUUCAAAAACAAGGAGAGCAAGGCAUGACUAGCUAUAUGACCUUAUAUUUCAUAGAAACACAAACAUAAUCAAACCUUGGCACUCUAAUCACAAAGUCACAUAAUGAGAAAAUGUAGCUUAACACAAAAACAGCAUCCAUGUUCACCACAAUACAAAAGCACAGUCAAAUAUAGUAGCAGGAACGUUCCCUUACAGUCAGGGAUUACUCUCAUAGAUGUUCAAGAACUUCAAAACAAAAAGCGGUUAAUUUUCGAACAAAGCAGAGCAGAUCAGAGAAACAAUCAUAUGGGUACUUGAAAUACGAUUCAUAAUAUUAAAAACGAUAAAAAUUAAUAUACACGUAGCAGCAGAAAACAACUAUAUAAAAUAAAUAGUGAAAAAAUAAUUACAGAAAAUCCAGCUUGGAGUUGGCAAUCGCUUAGAGUCUUGUAAAUGCCAACAACAUCUCCCUUUCUAACAACAUAAAAUGCAUCUUUCUCGUCCUCCAUUGAUGAUCCAAAUGGGUAACAAACAAGAAACGAAACAACAAAGCGAAAAAGCUUUAGAAGAUUAGGCAAAAAACCAACGACUGUUUAACUACUCAAAGUGGUAACUUUGUGGGUGUGUUUACUCGAGGGUGCAGGAGAAUGAGAAUAAAAAUUGGGAAUGGAAUUUAUAUUUAUUUGAUAAAUAUAAUUUAUAAAUGGAAAUAAAAUAUGUGACUCUUAUAUAAUUUGAGAAUAAGGAAUAAAAAUCUCAUUAACAUGGGGGUUGGGAAAAAAAUAAAUGAAUGAGAAUAAAAUAUGAGUUUAUUUUUAUAUCCUUAUAAUUUUUUUAUAUUUUCUUAAUUAUCCACGUUCAAAUCACAAUUAAUUUUUAUUAUUUUAAAUAUUUUUAUUAUUAUUAAAUUUUAUUAAUUUUAUUACUUUACUUAUUAUUAUUAUUAUUAUUAUUAUUAUUAUUAUCAUUAUUAACAAUUAUUAUUAUUAUUAUCAAAAUUUAUUAAUUUUAUUAUUUUAAAUGUCAUUAUUAUUAUUAAAUUUAUUAUUUUAGUUAUUAUUAAUUAUUGUUAUUAUUAUUUUUAUUAAUAUUAUCAUUAUUAAUAAUUUUAUUAUUAUUAUUAUCAAAAUUUAUUAUUUUAAAUGUCAUUAUUAUUAUUAAUUUUAUUUUUUUAAUUAAUAGUAUUUUUAUAAUAAUAUUUAUACAUGUAUCUAGUUAAUGAAAAUUAUAUUAUUUAAUAUUAUGGGUAUUUUGAUAAAUUGAUUCACAUUUUCAUUCUUCAUUCCCAUUUAUUUUGUCAAAUAAACACAUCAAUGAUAUUCCAGCACAUUCUCAUUUAUUUUUGUCAAGUAAACAUUAAAAUCUCAUUCACAUUCCAAUACAUUCUUAUUCUCAAUCCAUUUUCAUUUCCAGCUCAUUCUCAUUCUAUUAGUAAACGCACUAAUGUAUUCUUGUUGCAAGUAAAUGAGAUUUAAACAGAAAUAGAAAAGAUUGAAGCUGUUUCGAUGUCUCACUGUAGUCUUGUUUUAUCAACUAUCUCAGUAAUUAUAGAAACUGUUGAGUUGAGUGACUGAAAAGAUCAUAAAAAUACAAGAGUCAACACUGACAACCAAUAGUUCAAUACUCGAUGCAAGGAUCAAAAGUGUCCUUAAUCUUUUUCAAAUUUUCAUCACAUUUAGGAUUUUUUUUAAAUCAUAAAAAACUUCUUUGAAUUUUAAACAUGUGUUAUACAUAUAAAUGGUGGCCCGUUUUAAUCAGAGUAAUUAGCAUAACCCCUGUUAGGUCAUUAAUAGAUAAAUUUAUAAAAAUAACCUCAAAACUUUUAAUUUUAAAAAUGAACUCCUUAUAAUUUUUUUUUUCUAUCAUAACUAGUUAAAAAUAAAUUUUCUUAAACUAAAACACCCCUUAUAUUUUAGAUUCCCAUUUUUCGCACAUACUAUAAAUAUGUGAUGCAUACAUUAGUUUUUUGUGACAAACAUAAUAGGUUCUUUUCACACAUAAUUACAAGCAUCUAUCGCCAUGUCUAUUACCAAAAAUAGGUGUAUGUCGCACAUAUUUUGAAUUUCAUCUUUAAUCUAAUUCUAACUAGAAUUUUUAUUUUUUAUUUUAUUUUUUUAAUCUAUCAACCGCAAAUAAGUAUUUUAAGAACCCACUUUAUUUUAUGAAUAAAAAAAAUUUAUAACGAAACCCACAUCAACAUCUAUAACAAGUAUAAAAAACCCAUAUUGCAUAAAACAUAUACUAACUUUAACUUCUUGUUUUUAAAUUUAUAAUUCUAUCUUCAAUUAUGCAUUACUACAUUUGUUAGAUGAAUUUGGUAAUUUUUUGAGAAUGAUGAGAUUUAGUUGAGUAAAGUGGUGAGGUUUGAUAAUCUUUUAAGAGUGAUGUUGGUUUAGUAAUUCUUUGAAAGUAAUGAGGAAUACUUGCUCCAAAAAAACUUCUACUUUGUUAGUUGUGACAGAAAAAUGUUAAGAGGGUCAACUUCAAAAAACCCAAAAGCUUUGGUACUUCUUUUAUAGAUUUGCCAUUAUGAUUCCCUUGGCACAUCAAAGAGCUCUGCAACUUGUAUUAUAGAGACCUGUACAUUUACAUCAAUAUAAAUGUACCUCUUCCAAGGGACAUGCCCUUCAUAUACAAGUCAUCAUAUUGAUCAUGUACGAAAUCGACUGACAGCAGCUCACACAGCUCGAUUCUACUAGUAGUCUAACAAAUCUACAUGCAUCUGUAAGCUCUCACAAGUGUCUUUCCUGAUGUUCAGAGAAAGGCUUGUGCCAUCUUCAAAAUGCAAGGUAGCUCACACCGCGUGAAGGAUUCUCUUUUAACUUCAAACUGCAUAUCAAAUGUUCGGGAUCCUACCCAUCCAUCGCACAUCUCAUUCAACCGGCAAAAUCUUCAGUAACUUGGCAAGGUCGUAAGACUUGAAGUCUCUCCCAUAACACAAGCUCAUAUCGAGAGCUGUUUUCCCAUCCUGAAAGAAGUGAACCAACAAUAUCAAAUAUUUAGUGUUCACCAUAACUCUGGUACAUACACUCGUAAUGUAAUAGCAAAAGCAUGAAGUAACAAUAACAGGCAAUUAUGCCUCAGAGUGCAAUGCCAAUACUAUUAGAACCAAUUUGAUCUCAUAAGAGUCAGUGGCACAAAUUUGAGAACUGGCAAAACAGCGAGAUUGGCCACAAUAGCAGCCUCCAAAUGAAACAUACAGUUUUAAAACUUUACCUUGGUUUUCCUCGACUUGUCAGCACCAUUAAUUAACAAUACUUUUGCUAUGUCUCUAUUUCUACUUUGUAUGGCAAUAUGCAAUGGAGUCCAUCCUUCCUGUUAAAAUAGGGUGUAAACAAGAUAGGAUACUUCUCUAGAUCAACGAGAUUUAGGGAUCAGGAAAAUUUAAGAAUCAAACUCACAUUAUCUGCAACGUUGACAUCAACAUUGUACUUGAUUAAUAACUUCACACUCUGCAUGGCACCAACUUGAACUGCGUAAUGAAGUGGAGUAGCACCAUCCUGUUAUGAAGACAAUUAUAUAAACCCAUAGUUCUUAUUCAAUACCAAUCUAUGGGGAAGCUGGAUAGAGUUCUGUGACCAAAACCUUCUACUCACCCCAUCUUUGACAUGUGGGUUUGCACCUUUUCUUAAGAGAUGACUAAUUACAGCCUCCUUUUUGCCAAUUAUUGCCUUAUGAAGAGCAGUGAGACCAUCCUGUUGCAACAUACCAACUAAGAUUCAUUGCUCAAGGGGGGAAAAAAAGUGAACUAGAGAGAAAGAGAGAGAAAGGAGGAAUAUAUCAUUGAACUCACAAAAUAUAAAUAUCGACAUACCUUGUCGACACUAUCUAUAUCAAGCCCACCGUCAAGUAGCAUAUCCAUAUAACGUAUCUGCAUUGAUAGUGCGAGAGUCUGCAGUGGCUUCCAUUUUGCCUGAAUAAUAGAGGUACAAUAACUUGAUAAUCAAGAAUUAUUCUCUCAGUCAACAAACUGAACUUUACUGCUAAAAAGCUCUAAGAAAUAGUAUGUAUUUCAACAAAAGUUCUCACUAUUGGAAGCCAGAAGUAAUAAUAAGCAAAAGACUGGUGUUAUAUGUGCAUAUAUUGGAAACAAGAGUAUCAAGAAAAAGGAAAAAAAUGAAUUUGCACAAGGAAUUUCCGACAUACAGUUGAAAUUUUUCCCAAGUUAGGAGUGGCAUUCUGGUUCAAAAUUUCUCUCUCCUCUGGCUCCAAAAGCUGCUCAACCUCUGCAAUCAUUAAAGAACACUCAUAUUUAGCAAUUUGCCAAUUCCAAAAAAGCAAAGAGAAAACAAGAUCAUCUGUGCUCAUAGAAGAAAGUCAAGGAUGUCUUGUGAGUGUAUUAAGGAAAUACUAAUUGUCUCAAUACAACUAUACAAGUGUAUGCAUAAAUAGCAGAGAUGAAAUCUACAGAAUGACUUAUGAGCUUCGUGUUGUAGUUCAUCGUUUCAUUUGCUAGGAAACACUAACUAAUCUAAUUCAACACCAACUUUCCUCAUCUCCUCUUCCUCCCAGCUGUAAGAAUAUUGAAGACUUAUUUACCUGAAACCAGUGCAGGUUGAGAAAAUAGGACUAGGAUGAUACAAAACAAAAACAACUGAAGGUGUAACCAUAGUUCAACAUUACUAAUCAAAGCAGCAAAGUAAAAUACAAUUGACCGCCACAUGAAAAGCAACAGUAGAGAAACACAAUUUUCUUACCACGGUAUAUUUUAGGGAGACAAAUUUGGAAUUAAUGACUUACUUUUGUAAUUACAUUGGAAGUACCAUCUGUAUUAUCCCAUAACAUGAGGAAAAUGAAUGAUCUUCAUAUGUUAACAAAUCCCUUUAUAUAAUUGUGAGCAAAAUCACAAAUGAAUAUACAGCAAUCCCAAUCACAUAACUAAACUAAUUAAACAAAAGAAAUCCAAAAACUACAAGAGCCAUCAAAACUAUAAUAAGAAUAUAACCGGAUACCAAGUACCUUUCAGCAGAUCCUCUUCAUACUUGCUUAUUGCUGUAGCCGCAUCCCCACUUGCAGCAGCACCAAUGCCACUUCUCUCCUCCUCCCAAUCACUCUCAAAAUCCAAGUCAUUUUCCUUGACUUCCCCCUCUUCGUCGUCGUCGUCAUCAUCAUCAUAUUCACUACCACUCCCGUCGUCCGGGUCCUCCCAUUCUCCCAUCUGGGUCUGCAACAAAGCUUCUUGCUUUGACUCCACAGCACAAAAUCUCACCUUUAUCAACUGUUUGUCAGUCACUGACAACCCAACGCUUCCUUGUCUUGAAGAAACCAAAACUUUGCUCGUACUGGUGCCAAAAAGAAUCGAAUUUGGAGCAGGCAGAGGAACGAAAGUUGAAAAGCCAUGUAGAUAAGAGUUCUUUAGAACAAAAUUUGUCAUCUUUUUUAAUCACUCUUUAGCUGUUCCAUGCAAAACAACACAUUUAACCAUCAAUGAAUUUUCAGUUCUAACAGUUACCCAUUUCACGAAACACACGAUAAAGUUUAUUUCAUGUAGAGAAAAUUGGAGCAGGUAAAAAGUGUUAAGAAGAAAAAUAAAUAAAUAAAAUUACCCGCCAAAAGCUUAAGAUUUAUUGCCUUCUGUGAGUUCUGUCGAGGUUGAAGCCGAAGUUACCGGUUAUGCUUGAAGGAGCAAGCAGGCUGCAGGGAGGCAUACUAGUGAAACGUCAGAACGUGUGAAAAACUGCUUACGGGAUAAUAACACGAGAAUCCCCUAACUUUUUAUGUCUUCUAAAAUAAGAAAAAAGGUUUCACUUUCAAUCAAAUACAUCCCGAUUAGUUAACGAAACGGCCUGAAUACGCCAACGAGUAGGAACGAUAUUACUAAAGGAUGUUUUACUAAUUUAUUAAUUUGCACAUGAAAUUUGGACAUACAUGAACAAACGAAUAAACUAUGGCCUCGCCUGGGAAUCGCAUAAAGAGGGUGCCAAUGUGAUUAACUCAAAUGUUUGUCUCACGGGCCUCGUGGACGGCCCCGAUUCAAAUAAUCCUUUUGGGCUUCAUUUUACUUUGGCGUCAUCGUCUGCCAUUUUAUUUUGUUAAGCAAAUUCUGAUAAAUGAGUAAUAAAUGAAAUUAAUCUCCAAAAUUUUAUAAACAUUUAAUUUCUGUUGUGUUUUUUUAAUUUUUUGGAAACCAAAUAAAAUACAGAUUCCCCCCCCCCCCCCCCCCCCCCCCCUUUUUUUUUCUUUUUUUCUCUCAAACCAAAAUAAACACUCAAUUUUGAUUCUUUAUAAGGUUCGAUAAAUGAAGAAAACCACAACCAAAAUUGUUAGAAAUGGAAAAGUUAAAAAGUAGAGAAAUGAAGAAACGAGAGAAAAGUUGUCAUCUAUAGGGAAACAGAGCAAAAGAACCAAAUUUUAUCUUUACAAAAAUAACAUAUCAUACACUCUAUUUACAGAAUUUUAAUGACUCAAAUGCCAUUCAUAUAAACUAAACAAAACGGUAUGCUACAGUCUCUGACCACCCUUCUUCUAUGCAAUGGUACAUGAAAGAUGUGCCACUCGAAAGGCCCGAGGCUUUGAUUGCUUCCAGGAUGGCUUCUGCAGAUAUGACAAAAUCAGCUGUAUGGUAUUUCUAAAGUAUGUAGCUCUAUGAUCAAGAGGAAGAGAAAACAGAAAGGAUUUUAACAAUGGAAAAUGAAUCUACCUCGAGCCUGGCAGCCCAUGGGAGAUGAUACAAAAAAUUUACGAGGCUGACAAGAAUCUGUGAAACCGCAGUACUCUUGCCUGAUUAUAAUGUGAAGAUCUUGCCCGGGAUGUUCUUCUUCUUUUUCGCCGAUAGAAGACAUCUUCAGUGUCUAGAACAUAAGUGAUCUGCCAUAAAAUAGCACCCAUUUAAUUGCUACAAACUCUAAUAUGAGGAAUUCAUAAAUUUUGUAUUAGCCAAAGUGUUGCAGAAGCAAGGUAAAGCUUAAAGCAAAUAGCCAAACUAUAUAAGUAGACCUUGUACGAGUUGCAGGCUAUCCUGCACUCAAGACCAUUAACCAACUGAACACCUUCCAUGGCCAUGCAUGCAGCAGAAAGUUCAUCUAGGCCUUCAAAUCUACGCUUGUUUCUGCAGAUAGAUUAAUAAUAAUAAUCAUAUUAGAUAACAAUUUAACUGAUUUUCAAAACCUUUUUUCUCAAGCAUUGUGCUUUAAAGCUAAUAAAAAUGCUAAAACCAUAUAUAACUGAAACAUAAAUGGCUUAGAGCUAGAUCAGCUGAAUAUAUCUUGGGUAUGCAUACCUUCAAUGACUUUAAAACUUAAAUGGUCAAUCCUAGAAGAGUUAAAGAAUACUGAUUGCCAACUUAUUUGGGUAUCCAUACCUUCAAUGGCUUUUCAACUUAAACCUGAUACCUAUUUGUUGUAAUCAGUAACCUAGACUUUCACUGACAACCCUUAUCUGGAGGAAGAACCUUCAAUUAUCAGACAAAGAAAUGCAUCCUUUAUCUGCUCCCUAUAUAGUUGGGUGAGUACACAGAGUAAUUAGAAAGCAACAUAAUCCGAACUGUAAAGUUACUACCUCCGAAGAACAACGGCAUGUGGCUCCUUUUUGCCAAGAAAGGCAGACAGAAAAUCAUUGAGGAGAUAAGCUGCAAAAUUAGGAUCCAUGGUAACUGCAAAUGCCUCUGGCUUUUCAAUCACAUUAUCCAUAAGCUGGAUGGAUAGACGAGAUGGGGAAGAUGACUGCCAAGAGAAUAUUGAAAAAAAAAAAAAAAAAUGUGAACAAAUAGUUACAUAGAAAGUGAAGUUAACAACUAUAGGCAAGCAGCGUGUAUGUUGAUAGGUGAGUGUACAUAUGAGCGGAGAGGAAAGAAGGAAAAAGAAAAGUUCAAAGGACUUAACGAGUUGUAUUCGAUAUAUAUUCUCUUCAUGGAGGAGUACACGGGCAUUCUCAUAAUAAACUGAAUCAAUCUGCUUCCCAGGUUUCCGGGAUUCUUCAUACUCGUAUAACUGAAUAAGCUUGUUAUCCAUCUCAUCAGCUGCAACAGUUUGAAGCUGCAGCAGGAUUCAAGAACUAAGAUUUGGAAACUUCACAAGGCAGAGGCAAUAAACUAUCCAAAGAAUGUGGGGAACUAACCUGUUUACAUAAUCUAUAUAGUAACUUGUCCAAGGUAAACAACACAUAUGACUGAUUUCCUAUAAUAGCUCGGCACUCAUCCUCAAACUUCGCAUUGUCAAUGGAUCCGUCAAGCAAAUUGUAUAGUGCAGUCAUAAAUCUGUGCAGCAUACAGAUAAUAAAACAUUCAAGAUUAAAAUGCAUGACGGACUUUUAAUUUUAUUAAAACUAGAUUAUGUGAUGUUGAGCCACCUGGCAUAGAGAUCUGAGCAACUGGCCUCCUUAGAAGUUCUCCGUUUCAUUUCAGCACCUGUUGUAUUCAUUUUUGCCCAUUGAAUUCUUUCAUAUAGAGUCUGGCAAAUUCAAAUAGAAUAGUUAAAAAUAGCAAUGAUUAGCCUUUAAAAACACCCCAACAGUGCAACUACUUACUUGAUGAAGCCUGAAAAGCACAUAAAAGUCGUCAUUUCCAUAAAAUACCCUACAAUCUUUCCUUUCUUCAACUGAGGUUGCUGGCACAAACUUUGCAAGAGGCUUGACAGACAAAAGAAAACGUUCAGACAUAGGCAAUGACAUGCAAUCUCCACCCACAAAGUGUUGAUCAGCCAUUCCAUCUGCUUCGCCUUCACUCUCAGCCUUGCCGUCAACAUCAUCUCGUUCUACAUCUUCCUCCUCUUCAUGCUCCUCGCGGGAGUACUCAUCACCUGCAGACUCACUUCCUGAGGCAUCAUCACCAGCCACAGAAGCAUUUCCACUGUCCUCAUCAUCAGCAUCUGCAUCAUUUUCUCCUCCAACAACCUGAUGUUGUAAUCCUUUUUCAUUUUUAGACUGAUAUUGCCUGCUUUCAACACCAUGCUUUGCCUUAGGCAAGGUCUUCACAGCAGCAUCUCCAUAGACACCAAAAUUAUCCUCCUCAAAAUCACCAUUGGGCGAUAACUCACCCUCUUCUUUUUCAAUUUUGGUGGGCCCAACUGAUUUUUCAUGAUAAUUAAUACCUUUAGCACCAUCUCUCAAAGCUCCAUUUUCCAAUAAAGUCGGUUUUGCUAGAUCACAGCCCUGUGUCACCUAUACUAACAAAUUAAUAUGAAAAUACUUACAAAUUAAUAUAAAAAUUAAUAAGAAAAUUCUCUUCUUCGCAGCUGCAAUGUCUAUACCAGCUAGGAUCUGAAAGUUGCCCCAACUGUAAAAUCAUACCUCUGAUGGAGGGACUGGAUUGACAUUAGCUUCGUGUUUAAGGUCAUCUUUAGCAGCAUCACAAGGUCUCAAAGAAGCUGCACCAUACCCUUAAAAUUGAAGAUAUUCUCAACAUUGCAGCAGGAUUCAAGUUAUAUACACAUGUAUAAUUACUCUUACAUACAAUGAAAAGGAAAUCAUAAAGACUAACUAGAUCAAGAUAAGAACCAAAUAUUACAUAAAGACAAUUUUCAUGCAAUUGAUGAUCCUAAUUUACUGACCUGACAUCAUUUCAGAGCCAGUUCUGCCAUGACUGUUUUCUGCACCAAUUGCAGGCGAAGCAUCGGAAUUUGCUACUCGCUCACCCACUGCAACUUGUAUGAUAAUUCCAGACCUUUUAUCAGAAAUAUCUACAUUUUUCUGCUCUUUUUCUAGCUGAAGAGCACUACAGGACAAAUCAUCUCUGUAGACACGAUCUGAGUCCAGAACAUUUUCUUUAGUUAUCGUAUCCCCAUUGGACAAAGCAGUCCGGCAUAAAUUAUUUAAUUCUGUUGAAGUAUUUUCAUCUCCAUUUCCAGAAGAUAUUGGCUGUCUAGAAUUUACGGUGCCAUCAGGCCCAGGACUUCCAUCACUUUCCACCAUGCUUGAUGCACUGUUAUUUUUCCCAGAAUGCCUAGCUUUUCCCGCAUCUUCAGCACCCUCUACGUCACUAGGCCGAGAAGGAACACUCAGCAUUGGCUCCAAGAAGGUAGUCCAUAGCUUCAUAGCUUUAUUCAGUUGAUCUUUGGUCGAGCACAUCUCUUCACAAGAAUACUGAACAAGUUUAUACAAAUCUUCAUGAAUGUUGCUAUCAGAGUACCCAUAUUCCAGGUGAGGAAGUACGGGUUGUCUGUGACCAGCAGCAAUAACAAAAAGCACAUCAUCCUCUGUCUGUUUAUUCUCUUUGAACUGCUUAAUUUCAGCCACCAAAGCUGCAAUAUCAAGUAUGGACUCUCAGAAUGGAAGAUAAAAACAAAGUGUUUGCAUACCACAUCACAAAAAUUUUAGUGUAGUCUACUCUCCUUAAGAUGUAUAAAAUUCUCCCUUAGCUAGAAAUGCUCAUAUGUGCAAUGAAGUGGCCAUUAACUUGGAUGAAAAACUUUUACUUACAUUUUGUGCUCAAGUUCUUCGAAUCUUGUUGCUUAAAGUAGAAGCUGCGAUGAUCAAGUGAUUUGUAAUGGUUUUUAGCAUAUAUUUCAGCCCAAACCUUGUUAAAAUCUGAUCGGCACUUCGUCCACUCUUCCUGUUUUUGCUUCAAACGAGUCAACAUAACUGGCAGUGCAAUCGCUGGAUUUUUACGCAAUAUGUCCAUGACAUCAAGACCAUGGUCACCAUACAAACGCUCAAUACACCUUAAAUUUAAAGCUGCAAUGUGGGCAACAGAAAUGAGUCAGAGUCAAGAAAAGAAAUAAUAACUCUGGCCAAUGGAAUAUAAUAUAUUUCUUGAAUAAGAUAUAUAUACAUACCACUAAAGUGAUCUUUAAGAUGGAAGGGGGUCUCCAGAGUGAUUUUAUUUUCAUUGAUGCUAUUCAGCAAUUCCUCUGCACGUUUAGCAGUUGAGCUCACAGAUUCUAACAACAUGUCCAGCUCAAACCUAAAUGAUAAUAACAACGCCAUCAUCAGUUGCCAGAAAUAUUGAGAAAAAUUAUUAUUACCUUGUUCUAUUCCAAUGCAUGAUUAUAAUUAGCUUUUAAACAACAACAUGAGCUAAAAAGUAUAUACCACACAGAAAACCGCAUCGAUCCUCAAAAAUUCAACUCAAAAGUACUUUCAUCUCCUUUUAAACAUGAUAUAUACCAUAAUUGAGGGCCAAGAUUAAUAAAUUCCAAAUCCAGCAUCAUGCACUCCUACCUAUCAUCUUCACAUCUGAACAAGCUUUCUUCAUACUGAUUUCUACGCAUAUGUUUAAAAGAGUAGUCCUCGCUUCCAGAAGUCACAGAAACCCAGUGAUCAUUCAGAACUUGAGCACCAAGUUCCGAUCUCUGGCUAGCUGAAGGUAUUGGAUACUACAAAGUGACAAAAACCAAAAAAAUAAAAAAACAAAUAACUAGCAAAUUAAAAAAAAAAUCCAUGAAUAUAAUAUAACUGAACAGUCAUACGUCAUCUGGAAGAAGCCGAUAGCUGGGCGUGCAACGUUGACAGUUAGAAAGAUCAAGCUCUUGAAUGGAUUUUGCAUAAUACUUCUCCUUGUAUCGGUCCUUUUCUUUAGUUACUUCCAUUUCACGCUUAUGUUCUCUAUCUUUGUCCUCUAUCUUCACAGAUCUGGAUACAUGCCCGUCAUUGCAUAGUGAUUCUACAAUCAAAAAGCAAGAAAAAUCAGAACAUACAAUACACAGGGUGGGGGAGGGAGUAGGAACUAGAUAAAUUCCAGCAGCUUUAUGCCUGUCAAGAAUUGAAAAAAUGAAAAAAGAAGAAAGCAAAAUACAUAAUUUUACGUACUUUUACUCAUAACACCAGCGAGGAACCCGUCUGCAAGAAAAGAUCUUGAUUAGACACAACCUUCAAAAUUAAAACCAAUUAAGCAAGACAGGUUUCAACAGUUACCAAUAUUCUCACAACGCUCAAAGAAAUGAUUGAACUCAUCCAUAAGAUCCAUAUACUUUCCAAGUAAAUCAGUAACCUAAAAGAAAAAGACACCGAGUUACCAUAAAUAAUAGAGUAGUCUAUCUCUCAAUUCUGCUCUUCCAUAAGGAAAAUAAAUAAAUACAGAGAAUUUAUAGCCACAGAAAUAUAGAUUUGCGAUCCUGCACGGAGAUAAAAAUUGUAUACAAAAUAGUUAAAUGAAUAUAUCAUUAUGUUAAUUAGGAGGCAAAAGCCAACGGCGAAACAUACGCCUGCAAAGGCCCUUUAAAGAUGAAUAGAUAAUCUAACAUAAGAUUAAAAGGCUCAAAUAACUGCCACAGACAAAUAGGGCAUACCAAAUUUUGUAAAUCGUUCCUUUUAAUUAUUCCAUUGCUAUAAAUAUGAAGACACUUCAAGAAUGCCUGGUAGUCAUCUGAACAUAACUUCUCCUUAACUUUGUCGCAGAAGAUGAACCCUUGGUUGUAAAUGCCUGCCACAGUAACUGAGAAACCUUAGAACAAGAAAGAAACUAAUAUAUGAUAGGAAACAAUUUAAGCCUAAAAUCACCACAAAGAACACGUAAAGUGCAAGACUUAAGAACUCCAAAAUGCUGGUUCACAUUGACAUGCUAAGUAGUAAGUACCACCAUAAAAAAGCUCCACAUGUAGCCCAAGUCCCUUUACCUACAGUUAGACAAUUGGGCUCGCAAUAGAAAAGCCUGUUGCCUGCAUACCUUACAAUAUCCUCGUGAAGCACAACUUGUUAAUAACAUCCAGAUCAAUUAUCAUUUCUCCAGGUUCACAUAAAUCAAAAGCCAUGCAAAAUGCUGAUUUAGGUCAUUUCUAGGAUAAGUGUCACUAUUUGAUGGAGAGGUAUGAUAAUCAUGAAAGAAAUAGGGUCACAAUAUUCCUGCCCAACUAGAAAAGCAGUGUAGCAUUAUAUCCCCCGCCCCUAGAGGGGACAGUACUCUAGAGAGCAUUACAACUCUUUGACAGGGAGAAGCAUCUACGGAUCAUCAACAAUGACUUAAAUACUUACCAAGCACAAGAAAAAUAAAUAUAGCAAUGUUAGUAAUGGGUAACACAAGGAGAAAGCUCCUCCCAGACAUGCCGGAAAAUAACUACUUGCAAAGAGCCCUAGUACGAACUAUAUAUGCAUAAAUGUAUUAAAGAAAAUACUUAGGCAUUAGCACAUUAAAUGGAACAACUGACUCACUCUUCAAGGCAUCCUUGUCAUCAUAAGAAGCAAGGCUAGAAUUUGCUCCAAAACCUUCAACUUUCUUGAUAGACUUCUUUUUGUCAGGAAAACGCUGCAAGUUGAAGUCCCUAUUAUUAUCGUGCUCAAUUUCUCUAUCAUCUCGAUCACGAUUUCUCCUAUCCCUAUUUUCCUUUUCUGCACGUCUCCUCUGCUCCUUCUGCAUUUUUAUCAUCAAUUUCUCAUCAUCCAUCUCAGGACGAUCAACACUAAGAUCACGAUCAGCAUGGGAAGUAGCAAUCCUAUCUCGCCGACGAUGCUGGAAAAAUUAGAUUCACUAGCUUACCAAUAAGAAUCUUCAGAAGAAAGAAGAAGAAACACAUACAAUACCAAAAAGAAAGGAGAUUGCAAAACCCAAAAAAGAAAAAAAAAUGGGGGCCAGAGCAAAUACCUUGUCCAUUUGCAUUUGCCUCAAUGGUGGUAUACCAGCACUUCGCUCAUUGCCCCGUUGUGUUGAAUUUCGGACAAAUGGAAUAUUGUGAGAUAAAGAUGUUGCUGAAGUGUCAGGUAAGAAUCUAGUGAAUUCCUCGAGAAGAUCUGCAUGGUCCUCAAAAAGAGAGGCAACCUGAAAAAUAUUUGAACAGAAACGACCAAACACAAUUAAUUAGCGGACAAAUAAUAACUUUCAGAAAAAGAAAAGAUUUGGUGAAUAUGGAAAGUUAACAAAUCAUCCUAGGAAACAGAAAACUUUUAACAUUUAUUUACCUCACUGUAGACCUCAUUAAUAUCCUUGUGCUCCUUCCUAUACAUAUUCAAAAUUUCAAGGAAUGAUUUAUAGACAUGUUCAUCAUUGUGGAAACGUUUCUGUAACAAGGAAACCCAUCAAUUAGAAACCUAAAAAGCCAACAUUUUCACCUCAAAAUACCAUAAUGGGACGAAGCUUUCACCUUUAUCUUAUUUACGAAAGUAAUUGCUUCUUCAAAUUCAACCGUUUUCUUUGGAGGAGCCUCAUCCUCAUCAAGUGUUAUUUCAUAACCCUUUGGCAAGAAGGUAUUGAAUCCAAAAAUCAAAUUAUUAUGUCCUUUAAAUAAGUCCUUCACCCUUGCAAUGACACCGGCAGUAUCGGUUCUGGAAAACGACAAAGUUAAAAACAACACCUCCAUUUGUCACCAGCAAAAACUAACGGAAGCAAAAGAAUAUACCUCUGAGCCUUGAAAUCUUUCAUGACUUCUAGGAACAUGUCAUAUUUUUCCCUUUGGUCUUGAAACAUGUCCUUUACCUCCUUGAGAUAAGUUAAGGCAUCGCUCGUUGUCAGUUUCUGCGAGGUACCCAUUCCAGUCGUCAUUCCACCUCCUCCACCUCCUACCCCACUGCCUCCGCCUGCGCCUGCACCUCCACCUCCACCUGCACCUCCGCCUCCACCUGCUCCUGUGCCUGGCAGUUGAGGGGACAGCCCAUAGCUUCACAGCCAAAGAAAAUUAAUAAUUUAUAUGCUUUAUAAUCAAAAAGAAAAUAAUAACAUUUUCCCUCUCAACUGCCCAUAUGUUCUUGAAGCUAACGGCAAAACCUAAGUGCAAGUGCACUAGAUUCGAAACUGAGGCACUAGUGUUGCACCCUACAACUUUCGUGCCAAAACAAACCCAAACCCAUUUUCUCAGAAAGACACAAAUCAUGAAUAUAAUUUGAAAAAACAACCAUUAACAUAACGAUUUUUACGUCCUUCAUAAUCGAAAAACAAGCAAUCAAACACAAUUCACGAAUAGCACAAGAGCCAAACACCGUGAAUCAGCAGGGCAAAAUAAAACAAAGGUAGCUUACGAUUCACCGCGAGGAGGAGCAGUCGUUAAAGGCCUUUUAAAUUGUGAGCCACCAUACACAUCGUCUCUUAUUCGUUUCAUUUCUGAAAAACAAAAACAAAUAUUACACGAAUAACUAAUUUGUGAAAUAGAUAAAAUAAGAUUACCGUUUUGAAUGAAAAAUAAUUACAGGACCUGAGGGCUAAGGCUUUAUUUAAAACAGAUCUUAGAAACAAACUACUAACUUAGAAGCAAGAGUCUGAUCGGGGUUACAAAAGAGAGAAUAAUAAUAAGCCUUUUUUUUUCCCUCUAAAUUUAUUUAUUAUAUAUCUUUUUUUUAAAGAGGAAAUGAAAUGGAGAAUAGUGUGCGUGCGUCGAGGGACUUAAUGAGAAGAGAAAAUGGUGAGAGUCAAAAUCUGAAAAUUCGAAAAUAGUGGUGUUGUGUGAGAGAGAGCGAGAGGCUUUGCUUUUGCAAAUUGUAAAAAAAUUGCACAAGCACAAGCACAACAAAGGUUAUUUAAAAAUAAUAAUAAUAAUACUAAAUAAAUAAAUAAAGGUCUAAUUUUGGAAGCAGUUUUUUGUGUUUUCUUUGGCUUCAAAUGGGCUCUUCUAAGAUUUCACAGUAAGGUCAACCGAAGAGACUUGAUUUUGCUGCAAUUCCGCAUGCACAAUUUGAUUAAUUCUUAAAAUAAAUCACACAAAAACUGUGGGAAAUAAAAAAUAAAUAAAUCAUAGAAAAAUCAGUCGCGGGUAAUUAACUUCAAAAUUUACUUAUAUUUUUAUCAAAGAGAAGUUCGUAUCAUAAGAGAAUCGUAAUCUUUAUAUAAAGAGGAAAAAAAAAACCCGAAGAUAAUUUUAAGAUUUAUAAUGAUUUCAUUCCCAUUUUGAAUCUAAUAAUUAGUAGAUUGGAAGGUCCAUUACUUAAUGGAAAUUGACUUAUAAGAUAAUAAUAUAUAAAAAAGAAAAAUCCUAAAAUUUCUUUGCAUUUUCAAAAAUGACUUACCAGAGAUGGUAGCACAUUUACUUACAUAUGCAAAUUUAUUGACAGGUUACAAUUUGGCUCUCGUGAAAAUGAACUGGUCAAGCGCGAACAAACAAAUGAGAGUGUAUGACGUGUUAUUUAUAUGUUCAUUCAUACAUUAUAUAUCAUCUUAUAUUUAUUUGUAUUUGUACAAAUUCGUACAAUUAAUUUGUGGUUUUAUGUAAUAUUAUCGAAAUUUCAAGACCCAGUAGUACCCAUCACACAAUCACACUAGCACGUAAGUGGAUAUAAUUUCGUAAAUGCCAAUAAAAGAAGGGAUCAAAUCAUUCAUUCCGGUGCACGAUUAAUAUCAAAAUAUAAAUAUUUACAAAUUUUUUUUUUUUGGGUUUCAAGCAAACAUUUGCAAGUUUUAACAUCGUAUAUUGGUUGGUCAUCGUCGUCAAAGGAAAUUAAAAAAAAAAAGACGAAAAAAAAUGGUCCAAGCCCAACCCAAGACACUAAAAGCAGCCCAAUGCUUGAAAUCUGAAAUCUAAAAAAGAGGGGGGGGGGGGGGGGGGGGGGAAUCGUACAGUUCUUGAGUUUACAAUUGUUUUCAGUUUUUGUAACGGAGAUUCAAGAUUUGCCUCAGCAUAAAAGCUGUGCGUGAAGUACAAAGCUAGAGCUGUUUUCAACUAAAACUUGGCCAAAAUAAACAGAACCAGUUCCGGUUGUUUCAGCUUCCAAAGUUAAACAGACAGCUGAGGAAGCAAGAGAACAAAAACUGUGAGCGUGUUAAACAGAUAGUUUUAUUUUUUUAUUUCCAAUAAAUUAAAUUAGAGGAUAAGAACAACAUAAGCCUGUCCAAUCACCAACCUGCCUAUUUUUUAUAUUAAUUAACACCUUUUUUUUUUCUUUUUUGAAACAAUUAAUAAUUAGCACCUUAAAACAAAAGAGUGAGGUAAAAUAGUGAUAAAAUGCAUCCAAAAUAUAGGGGAAAAAAGAAAAGAAAAUGAAAAUACAAUAUUGUAACUUUUUAGAAUCUUUAGGCGCAGCCCUUGUACAGCGGUCCAAUACCGGCAGCAACACAAUCUUGACCCGACAGAAUCCGACUCUCUAGUAAGGUCCGUAGUCAUGAUACCGGCAUGGGCAAUGACCCGAUUCGUUGCCAGCCCACUAUUGCCAGCGUCCAUGGCCCAUGUCAUGAGUAAAUCCAUGAUGAAUGUAGGCUACUGUAUGGUUUCUGCAAAGCCACUCGAUCGCCCACCAAUCGCUAAGGAGAGGACUCAAAGGGCCAAUAUCCGAUUAGAUCUCAAGCCCAGAGGCUGGACUGCCAUGCAUAUCAAUGUCACCACCAAUGCCAGGUUUCCCAUGCAGGAAAUGAUUAUCCCAAUUGUGAUUUCUUACAUAUAGCACAUAUCGUUUGCAACAAGCACAGCAAUUUUGAUCGUGACCCACCAUUACCAAAGACUCUCACCUGUCAACAACUAAAUUCCAGAAACAUGUAAUUUCCAUUGUUCUUGAUUUUGCUCACAUAGUGCUGAUCACAGGGAUUUUCCUUGGUUUUGCUAAUAACAUGCUAUUUGCAUCAUACUAAUCAAUGUUCAGAAUUGAGAAAGACCCAAAUCAAUGAGUAUAUAAUCUUUUGUACAUAAAAGGAAAAAAAAAAUAUGCACAUAAUAUGCAUUAGUACUCAUUGAAGAAAGUGACGAAGCCAUUGCAAUCAACACAACUUGCAAAAGCCAAAAAUAAAAAAAAAAUAAAAAAUAAGGGUCAAUCUAGAUCACUGCUAGCAGAGCCGAGAUUGACUACAUUAUCUUUUAUGUUUAUGGGAUUAAGCAUAAGAAAUUAACAGUGCGGUCAAAGCGUGAAUGAUGAUAUGGUAUAUUAAAUUAUGUAUGUUUAGCCAAGCCCUGCCUUAAUCCCAAUUUGAAUGGACCCUGUAAGGCUAACGAGAAUUUACCAAUAGUUUUGGUUUCCCCAACAAAGGCACAAACGAUGAGAGCCGACGCAUUUCCUUCAUUAUUCACCAAACCAACAAUAGUUUUGGUUUCCACAACCGACACCACCAGCCUGCAUGAAAAUGGAUCGAAAAUAAAUCUGCUCUUUUUCUUGACCUCGCUGCCUUUUCUUUCACUGCCCAUUUCCAAAGACAAGAAACAGACUACAAUAAGGCACCUCCGUUUAGCUUUCCCCUUAAUUGGUUCCUUCCAAGAGGCAGAGGUUACUUCCUAGACUGCUUGCAAGGUUCAAAAAUGGCCAAAAACAUAAAAAUAAAAACCGUUUGUGAUGCAUCUGUUGAAAGAACCUACACCAUGUGUUGUGUUAUGAAAUUUGCUUAAUCUCUUUUUGACUAUUGUUUCCCAUCUUCAAUGUGACAGUCCAAUUUAUUUAGCACUUGCAGUACUAGAAAAGGUCAAGAGAUCGAUUUUCCCAUUUUGGAGUCACACCAACAUUGGAGGAUGUAGCCAUUAAAUAUUUAAUUUGUUUUCGGCAGAAGGUCACACGCUGCUCAUUCAAGUUAUUUUAUUUAAACCAAGGUUGACAGAAACUUACAAUAUAGCAUUGGCAGAAUGCCUGAUGCUUUGAAGAGGAGCAAUAAGCAGCAACUUCUAUGCACAUGCCUUAAGUUUUAUAGAAAAAUAUAUCUCUAAUAUGUAUUCACUUCCUCCCAUCAAUUAAAAUUUAGUUGACCGCCGUUGUCAAUUCUGUUCUGCCGUUUGGAGGCUGACCAAUGAGUAGUAAGCUCCUGCGGGUCCCUUUGCCAACAAAGAUUCAUGGCUCCCUUCCUCCACCACACGUCCUUGUUCCAACACCGCAAUCAUAUCACAAUUUUGAAUGGUACUUAGCCGAUGUGCUACCACCACACUGGUUCUCCCCACCAUUAGACGCUCAAGUGCUUCCUGCACCAAUUUCUCCGACUGACUAUCAAGUGCGCUUGUCGCCUCAUCUAACAAUAACACUGCUGGAUUUUUCAGUAUGGCACGAGCUAUGGCAAUGCGUUGCUUUUGGCCUCCAGAUAGCUGCAAUCCCCUGUCUCCGCACCACGUGUCGUAACCUUCACUCAGUCCGGCGAUAAAAUCAUGUGCAUUGGCUGCCUUUGCGGCUUCAAUGAUCUCUGAUUCGUCGAUUUUAUCAGAUGCUCCGUAUGUGAUGUUUUCUCUGACGGUAACCGCAAACAGAGCAGGCUCUUGGCUAACAAGUGCAACAUGUCUCCUCAGCGACCUAAGGUGGUAUGAUCUGAUGUCUUCACCAUCAAUUUUCACAACACCCUUCAAAGGAUCAUAAAACCGUUCAAUUAAGCCAAUGACUGUCGAUUUGCCAGACCCACUUUGUCCCACCAAUGCCGUUGACUUUUCUGCUUCAAUAUUGAUUGAGAAGCCUUUGAAAAUCAUCACAUCAGGUCUAGCAGGGUAUGCAAAAUGUACAUAUUGAAGUUCAAUGUGUCCUGUUAUUUUUUCAGGUCGAUAACCUUUCGGGUCUUCAGGGUUAAUCUUAGUAUCCCGGUCCAAUACAGCAAAGACCGAAGCAACAGCAUUUGAGCCUUUAGCAAUGUCUGUAGUCAUUGUACCAGCAUCAGCUAUAACCUUGCCCGUGCUCACUAACACCAAGAAGAUUUCGAAAAGAGAUUUUGCAUUAAUGUAUCCCCUGGCGACGAGCCUACCACCAUACCAAAAGGCUAGUGCCACGACGCAUGACACUAGGGAUCGGGAAAAGGCAAGGCAUAUACCAGCAAUCCAAGACUGUCGAACACCCUCUCGUCGUGGGGCUUCUUGAGCCUUUUCGAGCAUUUUCAGAAUCCGUUCUUGGGAAGAGAAGGCAGUGAUGGUCCUGAGAUUGGAGACUGCCUCAGCAGCUAGCUUGCUGCUUUCAUCUUGUGCCUUUAUCACCUUCUUUGACAUUCUUUUCAGCAGUACCUCUUUACCGUAUAAGCAUACAAUGACGAGAGGCUGGACUGCUAUGAUCACUAACGCCAGCCUCCAUGAAAUUAUUAGGCUCAUGGUGAAAGCUAUGGUUAUAGAAGAGAGAGUUUGUACAAGCAAAGCAACCCGAUCACCCACCAAUGAUCUCACCUGCCAAAAAUCAAACUACGGUUAAGAAGAGCACUUUAAUGCAUCAUGUAAGAGCAAAAAUGUUUAGUACAUACCACAUUGGCAUCUUUGGCAAGUCGAGAGCAAAUCGCACCACUUGAAUUCUCAUCUUGAUCAAACCACCCAACUUCAAACGUGAGUAUCUUUGAAAGCAUAUUUUUUCUAAUCCUUUUGGUCAAGUACUCACCCGUGUAAGCGAAAUAAUACUGCUGACAAACAUUAGUUAACAAAGAAAAUAUCGAUAGCCCAAAGAAACACAGUGAAUAAAAUCUUGUUUUCUCUUUAAUCUCAUCAUGGUCUUUCAAAAAAUAUACUGAUAUCAUAGAACCCAUUGCAAAUGCAUAAACUGGCUGCACUGCACCAAAUAAUAUUGCACUCAGACACCCCAAGCUUGCUUGUUUCCAUUCCCGUAUAUUCAAAGCUAACAAUCUCCUGAAAGAUGGUGCUGUUAAUUUCUUGUUAUCCUCUUCUCGGUUGUUUUGCUUUAGAUUACCAUCCUCUAAGGAAGCUCUACUUUGCGAGAAAGAGACAUCAGAGCUUGACCUACUAACCUGUGAAAAUCUGCUACUACUAGUGCUGUUUACGUCAGUCAAGUUUGAUAGAGAAGACAAGCUAUGCAAGUCUUUAUUAUUGAGAUCCAGAUUUUUAUUUCGUUUUUCAGUCUGAUGAAGAUGUACAAGUGCAGUGUACAGGCCAUUUUCAUCUUGUAUUAGCUCAUCAUGGGAUCCUGUUUCCAUGACUUGUCCAUUUUGGAUUACGACAAUGACGUCUGCGCUGCGGAUGGUAGAGAGACGAUGGGCUAUGACAAUGGUCGUGCGGCCAACGGCAGCAUUCUCUAGGGCUUCCUGAACAACACGCUCGGAUUCAGAGUCUAGGGCACUGGUUGCUUCAUCUAGCAGAAGGAUUCUGGGUGAUUUGAUUAUUGCUCGCGCUAUAGCAAUCCUUUGCUUCUGUCCCCCUGACAUUUGAACUCCUCUUUCACCAACCUGUUAAUUUUAAAACACAUAUAAAUAUUGUUAAUUGAGUGAGUCCAAUAUAUAGUGUUUGCUUUCGGUCAUUUUGAAUGGCAAGCUGGCCUAGGCCCGAGCAGAACUAAUUACCUGGGUAUCAUAUUGCUGUGGCAACUGACAAAUGAAAUUAUGUGCAUUUGAAGCUUUGGCCGCCUCAAUGAUCUCCUCCAUUGAGGCAUCUUCCUUGCCAAAAAGUAUGUUUUCCUUAAUACUUGUUGCAAAAAGUGCCGGCUCUUGGCUCACCAGACCCAUCUGUGACCUUAGCCAUUUGAGCUGCAAUUUAUCGAUGGCAACUCCAUCAAGCAGGAUUUCUCCCCCAAGUAGGCCGUAAAAUCUUUGUAAUAACGACACUACUGUGGAUUUUCCCGAGCCACUGCCACCAACUAAGGCCACUGUAUUUCCUGCUGGAACUUUUAGGCAGAAGUCUUUGAAGAUUAUGGUUUCGGGCCUUGAUGGGUAGGCAAAUACAACAUUCCUGAACUCAACUUCACCUAAAAAUUUCUCGAGGGUUUCACCUUCCAUGUUUUCUGAAUCUAUAUCGGGGACUCUUUUUAUCACAUCCCUUAUAUGUUCUCCUGCGGACGCUGCUUCUGAAAUGUACUUAAAGUUGGAUAAACCAGCCCCUAGUGCUCUGGUUAAGAAGACCCAGUGUAUCAUCAUCAGUCUCAUAGUCAGAAAAUCAAAUAAUCAGAAUUAAAUACAAACAAGAAAAAAGAUAUAAAAAUAUCAAAAUUUCAUACAUACAUUAUAUAUAUGUAUAUAUGUAUAAUUGAGAUGAUAAAAUCUCUUUUUUUUAAUAACAAAAUUGUGUGCGCAGAAGUUUAUGUGAUUUUUGAAAAUAAUUUUAAACUUGAAAUUUUUUAAAAUUUAUUUUGAACAUAAAUUUAAUGUAUUUAAUUAGUCCAGCUAAACAAAUUUAUAAUUCUUUAAAAAUAUAUAUAUAAUUAUACUGAGCAGGAGGAAAAAAAGUGUCAUGAAAUCAAGACUAGAAUUUUAGUAAUAAAGGUGCAGAUACUUACUGGCCACCGACGACAAUGGUGGUUCCGGCAGCGAAAACAGCUCCCCCUUUAGCCCCAUGGUACAUGACCAGUCUGCUGCCAUAAUAAGCCAAAAAGGACCAAAUAGCAUAUGUAAUUGCAUUGAUGCCACUGGCAAAGCCUUUACACAAACCUUGCUUUAAGCCUAACUUGACUGACCCUUGUAGGGCCGAAGAGAAUUCAUCAAGGGUUUUGCCUUCACCAACAAAGGCAUAUACAGUUCGUACGGAUGAUAUUGCCUGUUCCACAAUCGUAUUAGCCAUGUUGUACUCUUCUCUCAUCUUUCGUGCUAAUACCAUCAAAAUCCUUCCGUAUAUUAAUCCAAGAACCACCAGAAGCACAACAAAGGGAAACCCAACAACAACUAGCUGCCAUAGAAUCAUAAAGCCUACGAUGUAGCUACCAAAGAAUAUAGCAACAUUUACCAAAAAGUUCGGAAGCUGUCAGGCACAAAUAUUUCAGACAGUCACUUCAACGGCAAGUAAAUUGAUUGAUACUGAAAAGCAUGUUCACUUCAGAUUUAACAGAAUAUAUUAGAAUAACUUCUAUAUGUAUACUUGUUGUAGGAGAAUUAAAGGGUCAAAUUAAUCAAAUGGUUUUAAAUUACUAAUUAAUUAACCUUUUCACUGAGAACAUCUUGAAUCACAAGAGUAUCAUUAGAAACACUGGAGAUGAUCUCUGCUGUGCUUGUGACAUGCAAGUCAAAAUAUCCAACAUCUUGCCUCAGGAUUGCUUUUAAGUAGAUGGCUCUCAUCCUUGUUGCUUGUCUUUCACCCGUUCUGGUCCAACAGUAUGCCUCUAAAAAUCUCAAAAAAUUAAGAUUUAAUGAAGAUUAUUUUUUUUUCUUACCCGUUGGACUUAAGUCCUAAAAGGACUGCUACUUACCACUAGCUAGAGCUGAACUUUAGAUUCAAUUAAAAUUAUUUAUUUUAAAAAAACUUGAACAAAUUUAACUGAUCAGCAAUUAUAAAACCCACCUAGGAAAGCAGCAAUCCAUGCUAUACAAGCAAGGUACAAGAUCAUCACCGCAUUCUGUCAUCCAGAAAAUAAUGAUUUGGGUAAGCAAGCCAGGUUCAAUAUAAGUUCAUUUCCGUGAAAGAAAUAUUAUUAUUCAUAGUAAAGAAAGAAAGACGAGAGCAUAUAUUACAUUGUAGAGUUGAUGAGUAAACACAUCCACAGGGAGACUUGAUGCAUUCCCAACAUUAUUCAUCAAUCUACACAUCACAAAUGUCAACAAAGGUGUUGAGAACCCAUCACAUAUGGCUCCAGUGAAUCCCAAAACCAUGAGAAACAUAUCCACACGGUCCGCAUGCAUGAAAAUCGAUCGAAAAGACCCAAACAUGUUUCUUCUUCCGCCCUCUCUUUCUCUACUCAUUUUCAGAGAUACUGAAACAACUAAAUUAGCUACUUCCUAAAAGGUGCGUGUUAGUGGUGUGCCCUGAAUGGGCAGAUUUAUAAGAAGCUUACACAUACGUGCAACUGUGUGCUAUCCUCUUUUAAGCACUUCUUUUUGUGAGGCAGGUAAUUAAUAUUCUUGUUAUGAGAAGGACAGAUUAACUAAUAGUGAUGAUAACUUAUGCAAAGGAGUGGCAGAUCUUUGUAUAUAACAACACUACGUAGUGAGGUUAUGUAGUAUAUAAAUAGAAAAUACAACUAUUUUGAACACCAUAAAUAAGAAUAAAAUAGCACCCGCCAAUGUGGAAGACAAACGAAUUUAAUACAAUCUAUAUUUUAGAAUUGUGCAUCUUUAACUGUGAAAUAAAAUUGAUGUAUGGUAGAGUGAAUUAGAUAUGACUUUUAGAACCAUUUUUGACAAUUGCUUUGAAGACUAGCUGUGAUGAUAAAGCAACAAUUAAUGAAUUAAGUAUUCUUCAAUGUGUUACACGAUAAUAUACAAAAACUUGCGGAAAUACGACAGUGCCCGCUCCUUGAUCGGUCAAUUCAUCCUAUAAUCACAUUUUAUUAUAAAAUAAAUAUCUUAACUAUCAUAUUGGUGGGAUUUUUGUGACACCCAGACGUUUCGUGAUCUCUUCUUUUUGUUAUAUUUUGCCCCACGUAUCCUGUUAGUUUCUCUAGUUAUUGUUUUUCUUCCCCUUAAACUUGUGCAAUUUAUCACGCAACUCUUCGGUUCUCAAUCUCCGGCUCUUGAAUUUAUAAAUAAACAAAUGGAUUGGUUAAAAUAAAUAAAAUAAUACAAAACAAAAAUCAGGCAUGACAAUGAUGCGUGCUGUUGUUAAACGAAUGGGAGAAGAAAAGGAGAUUAAUGACGAAAGUAGACUAAAUAUUUUAUGGACCUGAGGCAUGAUGAUGGGUUAGGUGAGUUAAAAAGAUUAAAAAAAUGAACUAAGUGGAUGAAAAAGAAGAGAAAAUUGUACAAGAAAGAAAAAAGUUAACCAAAUAAUUCAAGAAGAGAGUAGUAAGAAUUGUCACGGAUGACCUUACAUAGUUUUGUCUAAAUAAUUCACAACUUUUGUGUCAUUCUGAGUCAUUAUAGCACACGUCACAUACCAACAAAGUGUUGGCUCCACUGGCAAUGGAGUCCUCUUAAGUGGCUUGAUUGGGUUUGCUCCCCAGUUCGAGUCGCAGGAAAGUCGCCUUUGUUGGGAGAACCUGUGCCUCCCGGUUCGAGCGGGGAUUUCUAGUCUGGGUUGUGGUACGAGCUUAAAGGUACCUCCCACAGUUGGGGCCCUCCCCAGGAUACCUCGAUUAAUAUCAAAAAAAAAAAUAGCACACGUCACAUGCCUGCGUAAUUACUUAUCCUCUAAUAGGAAAAGUUACUCAAUUUUUUGCAUUUAAAAAUGCAUAAAUAUAUAACCGAAGUUUUGUUAUUAAUUUUAUUAUUAUUGUUGUUUGUUUAAUAUUUUGAUGAAAUCACUUAUAUCCAAAAGUUUGUUACUAAAGUCCUGUUAUUUUCUCUUAGAAAAAAGUUAUAUUAUCUUCGCUUAAAAAAUGAAUACGUAUAUUUAGACAUCAAGAGAAAACUAUUCUCUGAUCUAUCUUUGUAUACGCUUUAAUAUGUGUGGUGUUUCAUGCGAGUACACAUUUAUUGUGGCGAUAAAUCCAUCGCCACUACCUUUUAGAUAUUUUCUUGAUCAUCAUUAAAUAAUAUGAUGAUUUUUUUUUUUUUUAGUUACUUCAUAAGGAAGUGUGCUUGACAUUUUCUCUAUAGAAAAUAUGAGGUUGGAUUCUUGCAAAGGUCAAAGAUAAUAAAUGUCUUGAUUAUCAUAUGGGAGAAUGCAUGUGUUUUAUUUUAUUUUUUAUUUUUUACCACGAGGUAUUUUGGGGAGGGCCUCAACUAUGGGAGGCACCUUUAAGUCCGUACUAUAACCCAGACUAGAAGUCCCCGUUCGAACCGAGAGGCGCAGGUUCUUCCAACAAAGGCGGCUUCCCUGCGACUCGAACUGGGGAGUAAACCCAGUCAAGUCACUUAAGGAGACUUCAUUGCCAGUGGAGCCAACACUUUGUUGGUAGAAUACAUGUGUUUUAUGAUGAUAAAUGUUAUAUUUUUUACUUAUAUCUUUACUAAAAUUUUAAUUGCCUAUUUCAUCCUUCUGGUUAAGAAAUAGCAUAUAGAGGUCGGGUUCUUGCAUUCUCUCUUAUUAAUUAUAUUGGUGGGAUGCCAAUAAUGCAUUUUUGACACCCAGACGAUUCAUGAUCUAUCACUAUCACUACAUUUUUCCAAGUCCAUUCACGUACGAACUUAUAUGUGUAUAGCAUUAUUAACAGUCUCAAAGAGUACUUCAUUUCUUUAGUAUUAUUAUAAUUAGGUUUAUACGUUUAGUCUCACUAUCUCAGAGAGCUUACUGGUCAAUUCAAUUCAAACAUAACGUUAACAACUUUUAUUGGUGAUCAACGGCAAUGAGUAAUUUCAUCAUGAGUUAUGACAAAUUUAAUGUUUCUUCACUAAAACGUCCAAACUUAAGGAUCUAAAUAAUAAAAACUCAAAUACUAUAGUUAAAUGCUUUUAUUAAACAGUAUUCUACCUGAACAGCUAAUCUAUUAUUAGUAAUUUUUUCUUCUUUUUUUUUAGCACUGAUAUUUAAACAGAAUAAUUAAUUAUAAAAAAGACAAAAAAUGAGUAUAAAAUAAUAUGACUUAAAAAAUAAAAUAAUUAAGUAAUUUACUAUAACACCAGACAGAUAUUAUAGUUUAUUCUAUCAUCACUAUGUUAUAUCCUACAGUUUAUUUAGUUGCGUGCAUAUGCAUUACCUAAUUAGUUGUUUCUUUUCGACAUAUAAAAUUUCUUAUGCUUGUCUUAUGUUCCCAAUCUCUGCAGCUUUUAGAGUCCCUUUAAUUUCCUUUCCCAAAAAAUAUAAGGACUCUCUCGAAUCUAUAAACAAACUUAAUGAAAUUAGGGCUAAUGUUAAGUUACAUACAUGUAAUUUAUAAUUCUCUCACAUAAAUAGUAAGUGAGUCUACAUCACUCAUUAUUUAUGUGAGAGAGUUGUAAGUUAUAUGCAUGUAACAUAAGGGGAUCCAAUGGAUUAAUUAAAUAAAACCACAAAAAAAGGGGAGGGGGCUUGACAUGAUGUUAUUGUUAAACAAAUUAAUGAGAGAGGAAAAGGACAUUAAUGACAAAAGAAGACUAAAUAAUAGAAGGACCUGAGACAUGCUGAUAAGAUAGGCGAUUUAAAAAGAUAAAAAAAAAAAAAAAAAAAAAAAAAAAAGGACCUCAGCAGAUGAAAAGGAAGAGAAAAUGUGUGAAAAUGAAAAAAAGUUAAGAAGAUAAUUCGAGAGAAGAAUUGUCAGUUUGUUAAUGAUAAUUACGUUACGUGGUGAUAGUUUAAAUAAUUCACGACUUUUGCCUCAUUUGGGACGUCAUAGCUCACGUCCUAAUCCUAUGCAUGCACAAUUGCUUAUUUGCUUAUGAGAUAAUAGAAAGAGUUACUUAAUUGCUUACAUUUAUAAAUGUAUAAAUAUCCAAAGAGUUCUCCUUAAAUUUUAUUAUAAUUUUUAUUAUAUUUUGAAGAAUACAUCGUUAGCUACAUCCAAAAGUUUGUUCUUAAGUUUUGCUAUUCUCUCUUUGAAAUAAGAUUUUAUUAUCUUCACUCUCAAAAUGAUCUAUCUAAUUAACAGGAUAAUAUUGGGUUGUUGGCUGUCACAACAUUCUAGAACCAACAAUUUAUUUCUUAAUCAAGCCAAUCUAAUCAUAAAAAGACAUUUAAUAAAAAGUUGUGGUAUGCGAUCAUUCAACUUAUUUUAUCAACCCUCGUUUUUCAAUUAACUUCAUAAAAAAUUUUAAAAACCGACUGAAUUAAAAUUGAUUAGUUUUUCUUUUCCAAUUGGAUUCAAGAAUCUAUACAAAUUUAGUACUAAUUUAUAGCAUAAUUUAUGACGGUAGAAACCGUCCUUUAAUUACCGAAAAAAUAUCUAUGAUACAACUAUGGCGUUUCCCAUUUUCAAUACCAUCAUUAUCAUCGUCAUUCGUAUGAUAUGUGAUAUAAAAUCAGAAUGAUUUUUUUUUUUUUUUUUUUUUUGGAACUAAAGUUUUCUUCUUCUUUUAUUUUUCUAAAAUGAAGGACUGUUGUUUUCUUGAUUCAUAUGCGUUGUCCGGGUUGGGCCGCUAGGGAUUAAUAGCAACUCAAACAGAUUGAAAGGUCUCCCACCUAAUGAAGAAAGAAAAAGCAAAAAGUAAAGUAAGACAAAGAACGAAAAGAAAGGGAAAGGGUGAGUCGAUUUUGAUGGCCGUUAAUAAUUAAAUAUGUUUCUUCAUUGGUUUAUCCUUUUCCGUAAUUUCACACAAGGACAAAAUGGGAAGUAAGGUAAAAGUAAUCCGCAAUUAUGGAUAUUUAUGCGAAGAGGAUAUAUUGGUAAAUUGCCUAGCGAAUUUCAGCAGUGUUGGAUGCGGAUGAUCCAAAAAUGUAAUGUUCGAGUGGUAUUGACUAAUGAGGUGAUGGAGAUCAAGGGCAUCGAUUAUGGCAAUGUUUUCCAAGACACGAUGAGUUUGUGAAUCUCUCUCUCAGAGGAGAAACAAAAAAAAACAUACAGAAGCUUACAAUAUAUGAUUCAUUGGCAGACGGCCUAAUACUUUGAAGAGGAGCAACAAGCAAAAGCUGAAGUUUUAACGAAAAAAACAAAAUUAUACAAAUGUACGUACGUACGUAGGUACGUAUGUAUAUAUAUAUAUAUAUGUGUAUAUUGAAUUCCACCCAUCAAUUGAGGAGUAUUCUCAAUUCUGUGGUGUCGUUUGGAGGCUGACCAAUGAGUAGUAAGCUCCCGCGGGUCCUUUUGCUAACAAAGAUUGAUGGCACCCCUCUUCCACCACGCGCCCUUGCUCCAACACUGCAAUUAUAUCACAAUUUUGAAUGGUACUCAGCCUGUGUGCUACCACCACGCUUGUUCGCUCCACCAUCAGACGCUCAAGUGCUUCCUGCACCACUUUCUCCGACUGACUAUCAAGUGCGCUGGUCGCCUCAUCUAACAAUAACACUGCAGGAUUUUUUAAUAUGGCACGAGCUAUUGCAAUGCGUUGCUUUUGGCCUCCAGACAGCUGCAAUCCCCUGUCUCCACACCACGUGUCGUAACCUUCAUACAAUCCAGCUAUAAAAUCAUGUGCAUUGGCUGCCUUUGCGGCUUCAAUGAUCUCUGAUUCGUCGAUUUUAUCAGAUGCUCCGUAUGUGAUGUUUUCUCUGAUGGUACCCGCAAACAGAGCAGGCUCUUGACUAACAAGUGCAAUAUGUCUCCUCAGCGACCUCAGGUGGUGUGAUCUGAUGUCUCGACCAUCAAUUUUCACAACACCCUUUAGAGGAUCGUAAAACCGUUCAAUUAAGCCAAUGAUCGUUGAUUUUCCUGACCCACUUUGCCCGACCAGUGCUGUUGAUUUUUUUGCUUCAAUGUUGAUUGAGAAGCCUUUGAAAAUCAUCACAUUAGGUCUAGCAGGGUAUGCAAAAUGCACAUCUUCAAGUUCUAUGUGUCCUAUAAUUUUUUCUGGUUGGUAACCGUUAAGGUCAUCAGGGUCAAUUUUAGUAUGCCGGUCUAAUACCGCGAAGACCGAAGCAACAGCAUCUGAACCUUUUGCAAUGUCUGUAGUCAUUGUGCCGGCAUCAGCUAUGACCUUGCCUGUGCUCACUAAAAUCAAGAAGAUUUCAAAAAGGGAUUUUCCAUCAAUGUAUCCUCUGCCGACGAGCCUGCCACCAUACCAAAAGGCUAGUGCCACGACGCAUGACACUAGAGCUCGGGAAAAGGCAAGGCAUAUACCUGCAAUCCAAGAUUGUCGAACACCCUCUCGUCGUGGGGCUUCGUGAGCUUUUUUGAGCAUUUUCUGGAUCCGUUCUUGGGAAGAGAAUGCAUUGAUGGUUCUGAGGUUAGAGACUGCCUCAGCAGCUAGCUUGCUGCUUUCAUCUUGUGCCUUUAUCACCUUCUUUGACAUGCUUUUUAGCAAUACCUCUUUACCGUACAAGCAUACAAUAACGAGAGGCUGGACUGCAAUGAUCACUAACGCCAGCCUCCAUGAAAUGAUUAGGCUCAUGGUGAAGGCUAUGGUUAUAGAAGAGAAAGUUUGUACUAGCAAAGCAACCCGAUCACCCACCAAAGAUCUCACCUGCCAAAAAUCAAAGUACAGUUAAGAAGAGCACUUUAAUGCAUCUUUUAAGAGCAAAAAUGUUUAGUACAUACCACAUUGGCAUCUUUGGCAAGUCGAGAGCAAAUCGCACCACUUGAAUUCUCAUCUUGAUCAAACCACCCAACUUCAAAUGUGAGUAUCUUCGAAAGCAUAUUUUCUCUAAUUCUUUUGGUCAAGUACUCUCCCAUGUAAGCGAAAUAAUACUGCUGACAAACAUUAGUUAACAAAGAAAAUAUCGAUAGCCCAAAGAAACACAAUGAAUAAAAUCUUGUUUUCUCUUUAAUCUCAUCAUGGUCUUUCAAAAAAUAUACUGAUAUCAUAGAGCCCAUUGCAAAUGCAUAAACUGGCUGCACUGCACCAAAUAAUACUGCACUCAGACAGCCCAAGCUUGCUUGUUUCCAUUCUGGUAUAUUCAAAGCUAACAAUCUCCUGAAAGAUGGUGCAGUUAAUUUAUUGUUAUGCUCUUCGCUGUUAUUCUCUUUUCGAUUGUCAUCCUCUGAGUAAGCUCUGCUUGGCGAGAAAGAGUUUCUGGAUCUGCAACUACUCGCGCUGUUUUCGUCAGCCAAGUUUGAUAUAACAGACAAGCUAUGCAAGUUUGCAUUAUUGAGAUUCAUAUUACUUUUCUCUUUAGGAUUUGUAUUUGCUUUUUCGGUCUGAUGAAGAUUUAUAAGUGCAGUGUAGAGACCAUUUUCGUCUUGUAUUAGCUCAUCAUGAGAUCCUGUUUCCAUGACUUGCCCAUUUUGAAUUACAACAAUGACAUCUGCGCUGCGGAUGGUAGAGAGACGAUGGGCUAUGACAAUGGUCGUGCGGCCAACGGCUGCAUUCUCUAGGGCUUCCUGAACAACACGCUCGGAUUCAGAGUCUAGGGCACUGGUUGCUUCAUCUAGCAGAAGGAUUCUGGGUGAUUUGAUUAUUGCUCGCGCUAUAGCAAUUCUUUGCUUCUGUCCCCCUGACAUUUGAACUCCUCUUUCACCAACCUGUUAAUUUUAAAACACAUAUAAAUAUUGUUAAUUGAGUGAGUUCAAUAUAUGGUGUUUGCUUUCGGUCAUUUUGAAUCGCAAGCUGGCCUAGGCCAGAGCAGAACAAAUUACCUGGGUAUCAUAUUGCUGAGGCAACUGACAAAUGAAAUUGUGUGCAUUUGAAGCUUUGGCCGCCUCAAUGAUCUCCUCCAUUGAGGCAUCUUCCUUGCCAAAAAGUAUGUUUUCCUUAAUACUUGUUGCAAAAAGUGCCGGCUCUUGGCUCACCAGACCCAUCUGUGACCUUAGCCAUUUAAGCUGCAAUUUAUCGAUGGGAACUCCAUCAAGCAGGAUUUCUCCCCCAAGAGGGCGGUAAAAUCUUUGUAAUAACGACACUACUGUGGAUUUUCCUGAGCCACUGCCACCAACUAAGGCCACUGUAUUUCCUGCUGGAACUUUGAGGCAAAAGUCUUUGAAGAUUAUGGUUUCGGGCCUUGAUGGGUAGGCAAAUACAACAUUCCUGAAUUCAACUUCACCUACAAAUUUCUCCAGGAUUUCACCUUCCAUGUUUUCUGAAUCUAUAUCGGGGACUCUUUUUAUCACAUCCCUUAUAUGUUCUCCUGCUGACGUUGCUUCUGAAAUGUACUUCAGGUUGGAUAAACCAGCUCCUAAUGCUCUAACAAAAAUAGGAUCGAUAUUAUCAUCAUCAAUCAUUACUAAUGAAUGAUUAAUCUUCUCAAAAUAUCGUAAAAAUCCAAAAAUUUAAAUGCAUGAUAAUAUUAACAUGACCAUGAGCAAUUAAAUUUAGCUGCAACUCGGAAAACAUUGUUCAAACUAUUACUGAUUUGUAAUUCUAGCUACAUCUAACUAACUAUUAUAACUCAAAAUCUAAACAAGAAUUAAUUCUCGUAAUAAGGCGAUGAUACUCACUGGCCACUGACGACAAUGGUGGUUCCGGCAACGAAAACGAACCCUCCUUUAGCCCCAUGGUACAUGACUAGUCUGCCACCAUAAUAAGCUAACAAGGACCAAAUAGCAUAAGUAAUUGCAUUUAUGCCACUGGCAAAACCUUUCCCCAACCCUUGCUUUAAGCCUAACUUGACUGAAUCUUGUAGGGCUGAAGAAAAUUCAUUAAUGGUUUUGCUUUCACCAACAAAGGCAUAUACAGUUCUUACGGAUGAUAUUGCCUGUUCUACAAUCGUAUCAGCCUUAUUGUACUCUUCUCUCAUCUUUCUUGCUAGCACCAUCAAAGUCCUUCCAUAUGUCAACCCAAGGACCACCAGAAGCACAACACAGGGAAGCCCAACAAUAACUAGCUGCCAUAGAAUCAAAAGCCCUACUAGGUAGCAACCAGAGAACGUAGCAAAAUUUACCAACAAGUUUGGAAGCUGUCAGGCACAAAUAUUUCAGACGGUUACUUCAACAGCAAGUAAUCAGAAUAACUUCAACAGCAAGUAAUCAGAAUAACUUACAAUGUACAUCUAGGAAUUAAGAAUAAUAAAAAAGAAAAACCACUUUAAAUAAAUUUGUUGUGAAAUUUAAGCUCAAAUUGAUGAAGUAAUAUCAAAUUACUAAUUAAUUAACCUUUUCACUGAUGACAUCUUGAAUCAUUAGAGUAUCGUUAGAAACGCUUGAGAUGAUCUCUGCUGUGCUUGUGGCACACAAAUCAAAGUAUCCGACUUCUUGCCUCAAGACUGCUUUCAAAUAGAUAGCUCUCAUCCUUGUCGCUUGUCUUUCACCCGUUCUCGUCCAACAGUAUGCCUCUAAAAGUUCCGAAAAUAUAAUAAAACGAAGAUUAUUAAUUUAAUAGAACUUGAACAAAUUUGACUCGACCAAUAAAUUAUAAAACCCACCGAGGAAAGCAGCAAUCCAUCCAAGAGAAGCUACGUACAAGAUUAUCACUGCAUCCUGUCAUCCAGAGAAAUUAAAUAAUUAAUACAUUUUAUUAUAUGCACAUGUAUUGUAGUAUAACGAGUUUAUUUCCCAUGAGAGAAACAUGCAUAAAGAAAAGAAAGUUGAGAGAAUUACGUAGUACAGUUUAUGAGUGAACUCAUCUGUUGUGAGAUUCGAUGCAUUCCCAACAGUAUUCAUCAACCUAGCCAUCACAAGUGUCAACAAAGGUGUUGAGAACCCAUCAGCCAUGGCUCCAAUGAAUCCCAAAACCAUCAGAAACAUAUCCAAACGGUCCGCAUGCAUGAAAAUAGAAAGAAACGACCCAUUGUUGUUAUUUUUCUUGAUCUUAGUAGUAGUACUGCUGCCUUCAUCUCUUUCUCUACUCAUCAUUUCCACAGACACACAAAACAAAUUAAAUUAACAACUUCCAAAAGGUUGAAUGUGAGUACGAGUAUGAGUGUCUGCUCCUUAACUACAAAAUGGGUAGAAUGUCAUGUUAUAAGUAGCAAAAAUUCCACUGUUAUCAUAACUUUUUUUUUAAAUAAUUUCGUGAGGCACAUAAAAAAAAAUUCCUACAAAGAAAGGGGUACUUUAAUUUUGUGGGGGCAAGCGAACAAUGUUCUUAAUUACAAGGAAAGGGACAGACGGGUAGUGAAUUGUGAAAUAGAACGAUGAUACAAUGAGGUAAGGACCGGAUUAUUCUAAUAAGAAGGUAAUUUAAUAGUUUUGUGAUAGGAUUACAAAUUUUUAAUAGAAAACAAACAACUUUUCUGGGGCACAACUGGGUGCCAGCCAUUUAAGAAAACAUCCUUUACAAUUCCACAAUCUGAAAUCUGGUAUUUGAGGGAGAGAGUGU
RNAcentral lists this long non-coding RNA (47281 nucleotides) under Citrus maxima (pomelo). RNAcentral describes it as "long non-coding RNA (CMAX_LNC002911)". Lineage: Eukaryota; Viridiplantae; Streptophyta; Magnoliopsida; Sapindales; Rutaceae. The record is from RNAcentral.